CCUGAUUAGGUGCUUAUUUACUCACUAUUUGCUUUGAAUUAUAUUCUUUGUAUAUAAUACUAACUUGUAUUUUGAUCAUUCUCGCAUGACAUUUCAUCAUAAAAGGGUGUUGAUUUACGUUCGGUUACUAAUUAGAAGAGUUUAGCAUGGAAAAAGGAUUUCUUGAUAGAAUGGAGGAUAAUGCGGCCGUCCGAGUGUGGUCUGAGAGAACGCAACAGGAGAAAGGAGAUAGUUUGACCGAGGGAUAUGAAUUGGAGUUGUGGGAUUUCACUCCCAUCAGUGUGACUCAAAACGACCUGCAAGAGUUAAGGGAUAUAUGGAAUAGUUGGAAUGGCGAAGUCAAACAACUCUUUUACUGUAACUACGGCGACCUACCCUAUUUGCUCGAUGUAAAGGUGGACAAGUACUUGUUCCGGGCCCUCGCGCAAUUUUGGAACCCCGCUUACAGUUGCUUCACUUUCGGAGGAGUUGAUUUAGUACCUACGGUGGAGGAAUACAUGGCGUUACUUAAUUGCCCGAAGAUUCAGGCCGGUAAGGCCUUAUUCAAGACCUGUUAAUGUCCCUCCCUUUUUGAAGAAAUUGAUGAAUAUCACGGGGAUGAGCGAGCAAUGGGUUGCGACCCGCAUCAAGAAAAAAGGGGAUAGUAAAUGUAUUCCUUGGAGGAAUUUGAGGGAUUUUAUUCUUGCGCACCCGGAUUCGAAGAAAAGGGUUGAUGUUUUUGCCUUAAGUCUCUACGGUUUGAUCGUCUUUCCUAAAGCACUUGGACACAUAGAUGAAGCCGUCUCAGAUUUAUUCGAUCGACUUUAUAAAGGUACCACACACGUCCCGGCAAUUCUAGUAGAAACUUUUCGAUCCUUGAAUACAUGCCGGAGAGCGAGCGAGGGAAUUUUUAUUGGUUGCGCACAGCUUCUUUUGGCUUGGUUCCAAAGUCAUUUUUGGAAGGUGAAGAAGGUCUCCUAUCGGGUAUUCUCUAAGGAUUAUUCCCCAUUAAGAGAAUUAGUGGCCAUAUCGAGGCGGGACGACAUCUCCGAAGAGAGGUGGAUAACUAUUCUCCAAAAUUUAUGGACCGAAGACGUUGAAUGGAGGGCUCCGUGGUUGAUUCCUGACGAGAUCUUAUAUAGGUGCGGUGAUUUUGACUGGGUCCCUCUGGCUGGAAUAUGGGGAGCCAUUGGAUACGCUCCACUGAUGGUGUUAAGGCAGUAUCGAUCAAGGCAGUUUAUACCGGUGACACAAGGGUUGGCACAAUGUGAGUUCCCCUAUAAAGACAACAAUUAUAAAGAGAGGGUUCACGAGAUAUCAGAUGCAUGGAACCAAACUCGAAGAAUGAAAGGAUUCACUGCAGGCCCGAUGACGACCCUCGAGUAUAAAUGGUGGUGGGGUAGGAGAGUCAACGACAACAUCCCUAGGCAGAAUCAAGGGAACACACAACCGAUAGAGGAGCAUUUACGGGUUAUCCCAUCCGAGUUAGAGAUCAUUAAGCAAGAUUUUGAGAAAAGAAACUCGGAGUUGGGGAAGAAGAUAGAGCAACUAGAAGAAGAUAAAAUGAAGUUGGGGUUAAACGUCGAUAUCCAUAAGCUAGAGGCCGAGAAGUUAAGGAAAGGAAAGAACAAGGCCGAGGAAGAUUUAGAUAGUCUGAAAACCGAUUACAAGAAGCUUCGUAUAACAAUAAAAACUACCGGAUUAGGUAAAACUUCGGAGCAAUAGUGUCAAGAGAUUAAAGAGGAAAAGGCUAGAGUCGACCAUUGGGAGAAAAGAUUUCAAGAUGCCCGAGUACGAGAGGACACUCUGAAGAAGAGUUUGUUAGAAACCCAAAAUGAAAAGGAGAAGUUACGAGCUCGGGUGGCUGAAUUGGAAAGAUUACUUCAGCAACAUCAUAGCCAUAAUUCGAUAAUUAAGCUAAAGGCUAGUCUGAGCAGGAUCGAAGAGUUGAAAGGGAAAAUAGAAGAACUCGAGACCGCAUUGCGAGAUAGUAAAAUUCGAGUGGAACUUCUUGAGACAAACAACGACCAUUACAGAGAACAUCUUCACCACUCUCAAAACCAUAUUAGAGAUAGAGACUAUGUCAUGGGUGAAGCUAUAGCUCAGGUUUGGGAGAUAGCUGAUCACUUGCAAACCUUGGCAGUUCAGGCUGAUAUAUUAAGCUUAAAGUACGAGUCGGAAUCAGACCGAGGCUGAAGCUUAGCUUGGCUUCUUAGGAAAGUUAAGACUUUGGGCAUUAGGGCGAAGUCGUAUAUGUCAUCAUCCGUUCUAUGUAAGGAAAUUUUUCUUCUAGUGAAGUUCUUCUAAUGAAAUUGAAUUGGAAUCAACGCCUCUUUUUGCAUCCAUUCAUCCAUUCAUUGCAUAUACAUAUCCCAUAAUCAGUCGCUAAGGUUAGAAUAAUAUAAUUUGCAGUUGCAACACUUCAAAUCUAGAACCACGCCAUUCGUAUAAAAUGCGUCGACAAGCUAGAGCAAUGGAGGCUGAGUUCAAUGAAAGAAUCGAAAGGAUGGAAAGAGUCCAGAAGGAAUUACAAGAACAACUGGCUAAGUCACAGCAAGAAACGAGGGAUUUGACAGUAAGAUCUCGAGAGGAAUCACUUGAACAAAAGGAUCAAAUGGCUAGAAUGAUGGAGAUGAUAUCAGUUUUUGUAACACCCCCUAACCCCAAACCGUCCCGGAAGAGAGUUAUGGAGCAUUACCGGAGUUUACAGAAUAAUUACACACAAUUUCAUUUACUUUCUUAUGUUCAUGUCAAAAUUGUCUUCUUGAGUAACAGUCACUAAAAUAUUUAUAUCUAGAGUUACAAAACUCCAAAUUAAGUUCCGUUAAUUUUUCUUAAAACUAGACUCAUAUACCUUUCUACCAUAAAAUUUUCAGAAUUUUUGGUUUAGCCAAUUAGUACAGUUUAUUCCUUAAAGUUACCCCUGAUCUGCUGUUUGACGUUUCGACCUUUCUUUACUAAAAUUUAAUUAUCUCAUAGCACAGGACUUGGAUGAUAUUCCCGUUUAUUUCUCUUGAAAAUAGACUCAUUAAAGAUUCUAAGCAUAUAAAUUAUAGCCUGUAAUUAUUUUUAUACAAUUUUUAAUGAUUUUCCCAAUUCAGAAUAGGGAAUUCCAAAAUCAAUCUGACAUUGUCUCACAAAAAUUCAAAUUCAUACCAAAUUAGUCAAAUCCUAUUUUAUACCAUAGCCAAAUCUAAAUUUAUUUAUUUCAUCCUUACAUUUACAAUUUCAAAAUGACAGACACAUAAGACAUCCUAGGUACAUGCCAUUACCAAUAAUUAACACACUUUACCUUAAUGAAUUCGGGAUCGGACUGGGAUGCUGAUUCAACGUACUAUCUUUACUUAACCUACGCACGGAAACAAACCGUACGCUGAGUAUGGUAUACUCAGUGGUGUUUCUAUAAUCCGAACACUUGAUAAUAUAACAAUUAAACUUAAAAUCACAAUGAUAAAUAUAACCAUUCGUUUAUUUAUUUUAUAGAUAAGUUUCAUUUACUUACCAUAAAAAUUCUAUACAAGCCAUAUAACAAACACAACAAUAUAUUUGCUCAAUUCUUUUCAUUUGCUUACUGUAUAAAUUCUUUCAAUAUAUUCACAAUUCACUUGUAUUCACACUUUACUUCUUAACAAUAUACCAUUUUAAUUCAUUCUAACAUCAAUCUAUUUCAAUUGUAAAACAUCAUAAUUCAAUCACUAACAAUUGCCAUAUGUAUAUAAAUAUAAUAAAUAAUGACUAAGUUCGGAUUAUAGAAAUACAAACCGUAUUUUCUCGAGCUAACUCCCUUUGUCUUUGCCAUUUUUUUCCUUGCUUAGCCGAGGUUUCCCGAGACAACAUUAGCUACGGGAAUUAAAAAAAUUCAUAUUCGUUAAUUCACUACUAAUUUAUAUCUAAUUAAUACAAUUUUUAUUCAAUUUCUACUUUAAUUUCAAUUUAAUCUUAACUAGAUUUACUUACUUUUCCUAUCUCAAUUCAUACUUCAUUUCUAUUCAAAUUUUGUCCAAACUCAUACUUAACUAUUAAAUUUCCAGCAUAUUUUCAUAAUUUCGAAUUUAUUUCCAUUUAAUCCCUAAAACUCAAAACUUAUAGCUUAGUUUACGAUUCAAUCCUUUAUUCAAUUCCAAUCAAAAUUUCUAUCAAAUAAACCCCCAAUUCCAUCAUUUUAUUCAACAUGAACCAUACUUAGAAAUCUAAUGACUUUCAAAAUUUUUACUUAAAACAAGUAGUAUUUAUCUCUAGGAUUCCAAAAACUCAAAAAUCACAAGAAAAGGGGCUAAAUUGACUUAUAAAUUAACUUGGAACCUUUAAAACCUUAUUUUUCCCUUUUUCUUUUCUUCCUUUCUCCCUUCUCUGUUUCGUCCCCUGCUAUUCUGUUUCUUUCCUCUUUUUAUUAUUUUGUUUCUUUCUUUUGUUUCUUUUAUAUAUAUAAUGACAAUAAUAACUAUAAUAAAAAUCUAUUUAAUAACAAAUAUUUAUUUAACACUUGUACCAAUCAUUUUUAUACACUUGUUUUUCUUAUUUUUUUUAUAUAUAUACAUAUAUAUUUAAUAAUUUAAUGAUAUACAUAAUUUAAGAAAAAUCUUGAUUUUUCUUCCAUUCACCGCCUCAUUUCAUGGGUAUGGCUUAAUUGCCAUUUUGAUCCUUUUAUUUUCUAUUACUUUAAAACUAAACUUUCACAUUAUAUUCAAUUUAAUCUUUUAUCCAAUUAUCCUUAAUUAAGCUAAAUUUACUUAAUUAAACUUUAAUUAAUCACUCACUUAACUUCAUAAAUAUUUUUACUUUUUUUUUAUAAUCUAAUCCAUUUUUCAGAAACGGUGACCCGAAAAUACACUUUUCUAAUAACCUUAAAGUUCGGGUCGUUACAGUUUUGGUCAAAGGAAAAGGACCCAUGCAGAACCCCGACAGUAUGGAACCUCAAUCAAGAAUUAAUCACGACCAGGAUCCACUCUAUCCCCCAUGAUUCACUCCACCACAUGCCCACGUAGCACAAAGAGGGUAUACUCAAGGGGAAUCCACAGGCUUGGAACAACGACCUAUGCCAUUUGCUCAUCUAGGGCAAGGAACAUUUAUGUCAAAUCCCGGAGCAACCCCUACCAAUCCUGUAGUUCUAGAUUUAGAUGAUCCAGUCGAAAUAGCCAAGUUGAAAAUAGAUGAUCACGAGGCUCAAGAGAAGUAUAGGAAUUUGGAAGAAAGAUUCAAGGCAAUAGAAGGCACUGAAGUCUUCUCGGUACUAGGUGCUAAAGAACUCAGUUUGGUACCUGACCUAAUCCUGCCUCCGAAGUUCAAGGUGCCUGAUUUCAAAAAAUACGAUGGGACAAGAUGUCCAAAAGCACAUCUUGUCAUGUUUUGCCAAAAAAUGACCGGUUACGUGAACGAAGAUAAGCUACUUGUACAUUGUUUUCAAGACAGUCUAGUAGGAUCGACUCUUCGGUGGUACAACCAGCUCAGUAAGGAAAGGAUCCGAUUUUGGAAAGACUUGGCGUCGGCAUUCUGUGAGCAGUACAAGCAUGUAUCAGAUAUGGUGCCUGAUCGGAUGACUUUACAAAUGAUGGAGAAAAAGCCGUAAAAAACUUUUAGACAGUACGCGCAGAGAUGGAGGGACGUCUCAGCCCAAGUGGAACCCCCACUAACGAAAACGGAGAUAACCGUUCUUUUUAUCAACACCUUAAAGACGCCGUUUUAUGACAAACUAGUGGGAAGCGCCACGAAGGACUUCGCGGAUAUUGUAAUAUCCGUUGAGCUUAUAGAGAACGCCGUCAAGAGCGGUAGAAUGGAAGGUCAAGAAAGUUCAAGAAUGGUAGCACCCAUGAAGAAGAAAGAACCAGAAGCACACAUGGUGGGAAUGAGAAGUCGUUAUGCCCCUAAUCCAUAUCCAAACCAACCCUGACCUCGAAGUUAUCCACCUCUAAAUUUCUAUUAUCCCCUUCAAACCCCUUACUACCAAGCACCACCUCCUUCCUACCCCGUAUACGCCACGAACAACCAAAGACCCGUCACCACAUUCCCACAAAACAUGGUACUCGCUCAAAGCCAGCCCAGUAACAAACCAAGACCAGCAAAGGCCUAAUCCCGAGAGACCGCAAUUUACUCCUAUCCCUGUGUCGUAUGGGAAAUUGUACCUAAAACUUCUAGAGAAACAGCUAAUUUCUCCCUAUUACAUGGCACCCAUUAAACCCCCAUACCCAAAGUGGUACGAUCCAAACGCUAGUUGUGCAUACCACGCGGGGAACCAGAGGCAUUCCACGGAGAAUUGCCUAGCCUUUAAGAGGAGAGUUCAAGGACUCAUUGACGCAGGUAUCCUACGAUUCGAUAAUGCCCGUAACGCAACUGGGAACCCGUUCCCUAACCAUGCUGAAGGGAAUGUGAGCACAGUGGGGAAAGAGGACGAAUGGAAAGUCAGAAGAUGUGUUUCAGAAAUAAGGACGCCUCUGCAGAAAAUCUGGGAGGUACUGGUUAAGAAAGGAUUGCUUUGUCACCCUGAUAGAAUUUUUGGAGAAGAAGGUCAAAGUUUUUGCAAUUUCCAUGGAAUUGUAGGACACGACAUUCAGUCGUGUGAGGAAUUUAAAAGGUUUCUUCAAGACCGGAUGGAUAAUAAGGAGAUUAAGGUCCUUAAUAAGAGGGAAGAGACCAACGAAAGAGAAGUAUGCACCUCUGACAACCAGUCAUCAGGUCUCUCUUAUAGUGCGGAUCGACCGUUAAUAAUUUAUUACGAUGCGACGAAAGAGUCGGUGAAACCAAAAAUGAUAAUCGAAGUAUCGUUUCCUUUCUCGUACAAGGACGACAAAGUCGUACCAUGAAAAUAUGACAUCAAUAUCGUUACACCGGAAGAUGAAAAGCUCAAAGCCAUAAUUGGAGAUGUUGGAGAGGUAGGUCAUUUUACUCGAAGUGGAAGAUGUUAUUCGAAAGAGGUCGAACCAGUGAAGAAGAACAGUGACUGGAAGCAAAAAGAGAAAGUAGUGAUGUAUGAAGCCGAAAUCGAGCAAGAAAUUCUACCUGUGCAAGAAACUAAAAAGCCUGUGGAUGAGGAAGAAGCACAGGAGUUCUUGAAAUUUAUCAAACACAGUGAAUACAAUGUGGUGGAACAAUUGAAUAAGCAACCAGCACGAAUCUCGAUUUUAUCUCUGCUGCUAAAUUCGGAGCCACACCGGAACGCUUUGCUGAAGGUGUUGAAUCAAGCUUACGUGGCAAACAAUAUAUCCGUGGAGAAGUUAGACAGAUGGGUGAACAACUUGAAUGCGGAUAAUUUUAUUUCUUUUAGUGAUGACGAAAUACCACCCAAUGGUAGAGGCUCCGUGAAAGCACUACAUGUUACGACGCGCUGCAAGGGCUACAUAAUACCGAAUGUACUUAUCGAUAAUGGGUCGGCACUCAAUGUCAUGCCUUUGGCCACGCUUUCCAGAAUUCCGAUAGAUUUGUCCUAUUUAAGGCCCUGUCAUUCCACGGUAAGGGCAUUCGAUGGGACAAUGCGUGAAGUUAUGGGAAAGAUUGAUAUACCUUUAGAAGUGGGCCCUUACAUUUACAAUGUCGAGUUCCAAGUCAUGGACAUCACACCCUCGUAUAACUGCCUUCUAGGAAGGCCCUGCUGGAGCAGUUACUACAUCCUCUCUUCAUCAAAAAGUAAAGUUCAUCAUGGAUGGUUGUUUGGUCACUGUCGAGGGAGAAGAAGACAUUAUCGCAUCUAUCUCUGCUGAUGCGCCAUAUCUUGAAGUAAGCAAAGACGCAGUGGAAUGUUCCUUCCGAUCCCUUGAAUUUGUCAAUGCCACUUUUGUCGCUGAGGGAAAUAGAAUUUCGGUGCCAAAACUGUCGAAAAAUGCCAGAAUGGGUGUCAAGCUGACUAUAGGAAGGGGAGCUCGAGCGAGAAGAGGUUUAAGGAGAUAUCUGUAAGGAAUAGUCAGGGCUCUAAAGCCAGUACACUACAAGGCUCGAUACGGUUUAAGGUUCCAACCGGACAUGCGUCAAAGAAGAAAGCAGUGGAAGAAAGAUUAGGAAAGAAGGAUCGCGAGAACAUUAGGCCGAGAACCAGAAUGGGAGCCCAUGGAAUUCCCUCAUUUGUCAAGAACAUUUACGUCAGCGGGAAUGAUAUACCCAGGGUAGUAUAGUGCACAAAGCACAAUGUUAAUGAUCGAAGAGGGUUUUCAGAAUAUCAGUAUAAAUGUCAUUGACAAAGGAGUUGACGCGAAUAAAGACGUCUCAAAGAUACGCCCUUGUCCCCCGGGUUUCAUGUUGAACAAUUGGACUGCCGAGGAUCUUCUUGUAGUUUAUAAGUCUUCAGAGUAAUGCUCAAACGUUAACAUUCUGUUAUGUCCUUAGAUAUAAUAGAAUUCUUUUGUAAGAGCUUGCAUUUGCUCUUUAUCAUUUAAAUAAAUAUUAAUGAAGAUGCAUUUUGUCACGAUUUUUCGCAUUAUCACUAAUUCUAUAAUCAUUUCAUAGCCUAUCUUUACAUUUGCCUCAUGCCAUACCGUAACAUUCAGUUUGUUGGUUUCAAUACUUGGAUGCCCCUCUAUAGUUUCCUUUUCCAUUCAACUUUCAGGUGCUCAGAUAUCAAUUGCAUGAACAAACCCGUUACGAGUCCUGAAAUUGAUUUUGAGAAGGCUGUUUGUUUAGGAGAUUUCGAAGCCGAAGAAAAUGCUGAAGACUGUGUCUCGUCUCCUGACUUGUUAAGAAUGGUGGAACAAGAGGAUAAACAGAUUUUGCCUCAUCAAGAAUUUGUUGAAACAAUAAACUUGGGAGCUGAAAAAAGGAAGCAAGAAGUGAAGAUUGGGACUUCUAUUUCAGGGGGCACCAGACAUAAUUUGAUUACUUUGCUCUGUGAGUACAAAGAUGUAUUCGCAUGGUCAUAUUAGGAUAUGCCAGGAUUGGAUGAAGAUGUAGUGGUCCAUAAGCUCCCAUUGAAGCCAGAAUGCAAACCCAUUCAACAAAAGCUAAGACGGAUGAGACCUGAGAUGUUGUUGAAAAUAAAAGAGGAAAUCAAUAAGCAAUUUGAUGCUGGCUUCCUACAAACCUCCAAAUAUCCAGAGUGGGUGGCCAACAUAGUUUCGGUACCAAAGAAAGACAGUAAAGUACGAAUGUGCGUGGAUUAUUGUGACCUGAAUCGAGCAAGUCCCAAAGAUAAUUUUCCCUUACCACACAUUGAUACGUUGGCGGAUAACACAGCAAAACAUUCAUUAUUUUCUUUUAUGGAUGGAUUCUCGGGGUAUAAUCAGAUCAAGAUAGCCCCUGAGGAUAUGGAGAAAACUACCUUCGUAACAAUCUGGGGAACAUUCUGCUACAAGGUGAUGCCAUUUGGGUUAAAGAAUGCUGGGGCAACAUAUCAGAGGGCUAUAGUGACGUUAUUCCAUAACAUGAUGCAUAAAGAAAUAGAGGUCUAUGUCGACAAUAUGAUUGCUAAAUCCCGAGGGGAAGAAGAGCAUGUAGUGAACCUGAAGAAGUUGUUCGACAGACAGAGAAAGUUCCAGCUAAAGCUCAAUCCGGCCAAAUGUACGUUUGGGGCUACCUCAGGAAAAUUGAUUGGCUUCAUUGUCAGCGAGAGAGGUAUUGGAGUUGAUCUAGAUAAAAUAAAAGCCAUUCAAGAGUUACCACCUCCGCGCACGCAAAAGGAAGUCAGAGGAUUUUUAGGGAGAUUAAACUACAUCGCCCGAUUUAUCGCUCAACUUACCAACCAAUGCGACCCAAUCUUUCGACUCCUUCGAAAACAUAAUCCCGGAGAAUGGAACGAGGAGUGCCAAGUGGCUUUUAACAAGAUAAAACAGUAUUUGUCUAGUCCUCCAGUGCUAGUACCACCAAUUCCGGGAAGACCAUUGAUAUUGUAUUUGACUGUGUUCGAGAAUUCAAUGGGUUGCGUACUGGGGCAACAUGACGAGUUCGGAAAGAAAGAAAAGGCAAUCUACUACCUCAGCAAAAAGUUCACUAAAUAUGAGGUAAAGUAUUCGUCCAUAGAAAAAUAAUGUUGCGCUCUGGUUUGGGUAGCUCGGAGACUCAGGCAAUAUAUGCUCUAUCAUACGACAUGGCUAAUUUCAAAGUUGGACCCAAUAAAGUACAUGAUGGAAUCACCUGCACUCUCAGGAAGAAUGGCACGAUGGCAGAUCUUACUAUCAGAAUAUGAUAUCGUCUAUGUGAGCCAAAAGUCGAUAAAAGGGAGUGCAAUAGCUGACUUCUUAGCAACUCGAACAACGGAGGAAUACGAGCCAUUGAGAUUUGAUUUCCCAAAUGAAGACUUGAUGUGCAUUACAGAAAAAGAAUGUGAGUCAUCAAAAGAAGAGUCAUGGAAGAUGAGCUUUGAUGGUGCAUCGAAUGUAUUGGGGCAUGGGAUUGGAGCAGUCUUAGUAUCACUAGAAGGAAACCAUUACCCACUCACUGCCAGGCUAAACUUUUUCUGUAUCAAUAACAUAGCAGAAUAUGAGGCUUGUAUCAUGGGACUUCGUGCAGCAAUUGGACGAAACAUCAAAACUUUAGAGGCAUACGGAGACUCAAACUUGGUGAUAUACCAAAUCCGUGGAGAUUGGGAAGUGAGAGAUUCGAAACUGGUCAAAUACAGUGAUCUAGUGGCAGAGCUGAUUAAAGAAUUCGAAGAAAUAACUUUUAAUUACCUCCCACGAGAAGAAAACCAAUUGGCUGAUGCCCUAGCCACUUUGGCUUCAAUGUUCAAAGUAAACAGAGAAACAAAAAUAAUACCUCUUCAAAUGAGCAUAUAUGAAGUCCCUGCACAUUGUUUCAGCAUUGAAAAAGAGCCAGAUGGACGGCCAUGGUUCCAUGAUAUCGUAGAAUAUGUCAAGAACCAAAAGUAUCCCGAACAAGCAAAUGAGAAUGACAAAUGAACAAUCAGAAGAAUGGCAGCAGGAUUUGUUCUUGAUGGGAACAUCCUGUACAAAAGAGGAAAAGAUCAAGUGCUCUUGAGAUGCGUAGAUGCUGUUGAAGCCAGAAAAAUACUUGAAGAUGUCCAUGAGGGAAUUUGUGGGACACAUGCCAAUGGUUUCACUAUGGCCAGGAAGAUUAUGAGACUCGGUUACUACUGGCUGACAAUGGAAAGCGACUGCAUUAGUUUUGCAAGAAAAUGCCACAAAUGUCAAAUUUAUCGCGAUAAGAUUCAUGUAGCCCCUUCGCCCCUUCAUGUCAUGACUUCUCUGUGGCCCUUUUCUAUGUAGGGCAUGGAUGUUAUAGGGCCAAUUUCCCCAAAGGCUUUUAAUAGACACCGGUUCAUUUUUGUGGUUAUUGAUUACUUCACAAAAUGGAUAGAAGUUGCUUCGUUUGCCAAUGUGUCAAAGACUGCAGUUUGCAAAUUUUUGAAAAAGGAAAUCAUUUGUCGAUAUGGUUUGCCUGAGGGAAUCAUUUCAGAUAACGCCUUGAAUCUAAACAAUAAAAUGAUGAAGGAAGUGUAUGAGUAGUUUCAAAUAAAGCAUCAUAACUCGUCACCCUAUCGCCCGAAAAUGAACGGAGCUGUUGAAGUAGCCAACAAGAAUAUUAAGAAGAUUAUUGGGAAAAUGACCGAGACAUAUAAAGAUUGGCACGAGAAGCUACCAUUUGCUUUGUAUGCAUAUUGUACAUCUGUGCGGACAUCUACGGAAGCAACUCCUUUCUCUCUGGUAUAUGGAAUGAAAGCUGUGCUACCUAUCGAGGUUGAGAUCCCCUCUCUAUGAGUCUUAAUGAAAUCGAAACUAGAAGAAGCAGAAUGGGUUCGAGCUCGAUAUGAUCAAUUAAACCUCAUCGAAGAAAAACGUCUAAAGGCAAUUUGUUACGGACAGAUGUACCAGAAGAGAAUGAUCGCGGCCCAUGACAAGAUAGUACGGCUAAGAGAAUUCCACGAAGGAGAACUUGUGCUGAGAAAGAUUCUCCCAAUACAAAAGGACUUUCGAGGAAAAUGGGCCCCAAAUUGGGAAGGACCAUACACCGUAAAGAAAGCAUUCUCGGGUGGAGCUUUGAUUCUCACUGAGAUGGAUGGGAAGGAGUUACCGAAUCCAGUGAAUUCAGAUGCUGUGAAGAAAUAUUAUGCUUAAAAAAAGGAAAAUCAAGAUGAAAACCCGAAAAAUGGCAUCUUAAAAAAAAGAGAAAAGAAAAGAAAAAAGAAAAAGAGAGAGGGAUCAAGGUGAAAACCCGAAAAAGGCAUCUUGAUUAACACAAAAGAUUAGGAUGAAAACCCUAAAGAGCGUUCUAAUGAAGCAAGCACUGGCUUAAAAAGCAAGGCGUUUUGAACGGUGGGUCAAACAGAGAGACUACAGUAUUUGAAGCAUUUCUGAAAACUCGAAAUCUCUUACGCAAGAAAGCCAUGCUCGAAAAGAUUCUUGAUUGAGGAACGUGGAAGAGUUCAUGCGUUGAAUAUCUAGAGCAUUUGUAUUUGUUAAAAUGCGAUCCCCUUUCUUUUUAUGACACUUUUUUUUUACUAUCAUUGAUUAACUUUCUUUGUUUGCUACAUUUGAAAUGAAUAAAUGUGAGGUAUCCUUUUGUCCCUACCUGACCAUUUUCAUGCAUCUCAUUAUGUGGUUCAUUUACAUGAUAAAUGGUGAAAUGACAUACUCUAAACAAAAGAAGUGCUAAGCAUUACCCGGAUAAGAAUUUGAUAAGUACAAGAGCCUCAAAGCAAGGACAAAGUUCAACCAGGGGCAAAAGAGCGAUAUAUGAGAAACGUAGAUUAGUCGUGAAGCUAGAGGAUGGGUAGAGGGCCUGAAGAGAAAGUUCAGAGUCAAAUCAAUGAACGUAGAUCAUCAAAAAUCAUGACGGAAAUGGACAUAUGACAAGCAAGCCCAAGGCACAUAGCAUGAUCAUGUAGGCAUAAAGGCAUUUAAGGCAAACAUGUGCAUUUCAUGAUAACAUCAUGCAUGACAUAUACAUGUAUUUCAGCAGAAUAAGAGAUUUCGAUGAUAGCUGUACUGAAUCAAAGGAAAGGACACCUGAGUUCCACCAGAUGACAUCUUUUGGUAUUUUGAUGUUUUUAUUUCUAUCUUUCAAAAAAAUCAACUCAUAUUGCGAGAGGUGAGUUGGGUCUCAGGUCACACGCUGAGGUAUUUUCAAUUUCCGUUUUUUUAAUUUAUGCUUUUCAAAAAUCAACUCAUAUUGCGAGAGGUGAGCUGAGCCUCGGGGCACGCCGAGGUAUUUUUAAUUUCUGUUUUUCAAAAAUCAACUCAUAUUGCGAGAGGUGAGUUGAGCCUCAGGGCACGCUGAGGUAUUUUCAAUUUCUAUUUUUCAAUUUUUGCCUUACAAAUUCUUCUUUUCAAAUCAACUCAUAUUGCGAGAAGUGAGUUAAGCCUCAAGACACGCUGAGGUAUUUUCAAUUUUCAUUUUUUUAAUUUAUGUUUCUAAAAAAAUCAACUCAUAUUGCGAGAAGUGAGUUGAGCCUCAGGACACGCUGACGUAAUUUCAAUUUUUGUCAAAACUCAACUCAUAUUGCAAAAGGUGAGUUGAGCCUCAAGACACGUUGAGGUAUUUUCAAUUUCAGUUUUUCAAAAAAAUCAACUCAUAUUGCGAUAGGUGAGUUGAGCCUCAGGACACGCUGAGGUAAUUUAAAUUUUUGUUUGUCAAAAAUCAACUCAUAUUGCGAGAGGUGAGUUGAACCUCAAGACACGUUGAGGUAUUUUCAAUUUCUGUCUUUUAAAAAAAUCAGCUCAUAUUGCGAGAGGUGAGUUGAACCUCAAGACACGUUGAGGUAUUUUCAAUUUCUGUUUUUCAAAAAAAUCAACUCAUAUUGCCAUAGGUGAGUUGAACCUCAAGACGCUGAGGUAAUUUCAAUUUUUGUUUGUCAAAAAUCAACUCAUAUUGCGAGAGGUGAGUUGAGCCUCAAGACACAUUGAGGUAUUUUCAAUUUCUGUCUUUUAAAAAAAUCAGCUCAUAUUGCGAGAGGUGAGUUGAACCUCAAGACACGUUGAGGUAUUUUCAAUUUCUGUUUUUCAAAAAAAAUCAACUCAUAUUGCGAUAGGUGAGUUGAACCUCAAGAAGCUGAGGUAAUUUCAAUUUUUGUUUGUCAAAAAAUCAACUCAUAUUGCGAGAGAUGAGUUGAGCCUCAAGACACGUUGAGGUAUUUUCAAUUUCUGUCUUUAAAAAAAUCAGCUCAUAUUGCGAGAGGUGAGUUGAACCUCAAGACAUGUUGAGGUAUUUUCAAUUUUUGUUUUUCAAAAAAAUCAACUCAUAUUGCGAUAGGUGAGUUGAACCUCAAGACGCUGAGGUAAUUUUAAUUUUUGUUUGUCAAAAAUCAACUCAUAUUGUGAAAGGUGAGUUGAGCCUCAAGACACGUUGAGGCAUUUUCAAUUUCUGUCUUUCAAAAAAAAAAUCAGCUCAUAUUGCGAGAGGUGAGUUGAACCUCAAGACGCUGAGGUGUUUUCCAUUUCUGUUCUUCAAUUUCUGUGUUUCAAAAAAAUCAGCUCAUAUUGCGAGUGGUGAGUUGAGCCUUGAUUCACACGCUGAGGUAUUUUCAAAUUCUGUUUUUCAAAUUUUGUUUUUCCAAAAAAUCAACUCAUAUUGCGAGAGGUGAGUUCAGCCUCAGGACACACUGAGAUAUUUUCAAUUUUUUUUCAAUUUAUGUUUGUCAAAAAAAUCAACUCAUAUUGCGAGAGGUGAGUUGAGCCUCAGAUCACACGCCGAGGUAUUUUCAAUUGAUUUUUUUCAAUUUAUGCUUUGCAAAAAUCAACUCAUAUUACGAGAGGUGAGUUGAGCCUCGGGUCACAUACCGAGGUAUUUUCAAAAUCUGUUUUACAAAUUUUGUUUUAAAAAUCAACUCAUAUUGCGAGAAGUGAGUUGAGCCUUGGCUCACGUGCUGUGCUAUUUUUAAUUUCUGUUUUUAAUGUCUAGUUUUAAAGAGUCAAUUCAUAUUGCGAGAAAUGAGUUAAGCUCAGGAUCACAUGCCGAGUAAAGAAUAAAGACUGGAAUUAAUCGAAGACACAGAUUUUAUAUCCCUAAAGUUACAGUGAAGCUAAUUGAAGUUGCAGUGGAGCUGAUCGAUGAUAUCAGAUCUUGCCUUUCUAAAAGUUGCAGAAGAGAAAACCACAAAUUUUAUUUGACUAAAGCGAUGGAAGAGCAGAUUGAAGCUGUAGAUCUUAUCUUUUUGAAGUCACCUUGGAGUAAAUCGAAGCUACAAGGCAUAUAUCAGAAGAUUCAGUGGAUUUGAUCAAGACAACAAGAUACAGUGGUUUGGAAAGAGACUACCUGGAUGAGAAGAGCACCAAAGAAGUCCAUACUUAGUAAGACCGGGCAAAAUUGGCCUUUCUUUGUGUCUUUGCUUUAUUCCCGUUACACGAUAAUAAGCAAAGAGGGGCAGCUGUUGUAGGCCAAUUUUAACCCAUUUACACCAAAACCCAAUUUAACCUUACCUAACCCACCAAAAUUAAACCCAAAACCCAAAAUCUUAACUACCCAAAGCCCAAUUUACAUCAAAACCCUAAUGGCCCAAACCCUAAGCCCAAAUUAAAAUUAAAAAAACCCUAGCCCACAACCUAAACUUUUCUCAACUAAAUCCUAGCCUUUGCCACCACCAACUCCACUAGCCACACUUGCUCCACCACCUACUCCACUAGCCACACUUGCUCCACCACCUACUCCACUAGCCACACUUGCUCCACCACUACUUGUACCUACAAAUGAAGACAUAAACAAUAAAAAAUAUUUUGUAAAUGGCUAUAUAAGCCUUCUCAUAUUUUGUAUUUAGGGGAGGAAGAAGUUUUGGGAGAGAAAGUUAUUGUAAAGGAUUUUUGAGAGGUUUUUUGAGAGUAACCAAGGAGAAGAUUUAUUGUAAAGGCUAGUUUUUGGAGAGGCUAGUUUUUUUUUUGGAGAUUAAUCAAAUAUCAAAGCAAAAGAGGUUUCUUGGUCUAUUCUCGUUUUAAGUUCUUUGUUUGCUUAUUGUUUUCCUUUCAGUUUUAUUUUGUUUCUUUUAUACGAAAGUAAAAAUAAAAGGAGGAAGCUUUCCCAUUUUUACUGAAAAAGUUUUUUUUGAGGUCCGGCUGCCGUGUACGGUGGCACCGAUGGUAGCCGGCGGCGGUCCGGUGACCGGACGGUGACUGGCCUUGUGGCCGGAAAUCACCCACUCUCUCCCUCUCUUUUUUUUGUUAUUAUUAUAUUUCUUAAUAUUAUAUUAUAUAAAUAUUCUUUUAAUAUAUUAGGUAUAUUCUAAAUUCUAUAUUACAUAUAUAUAUUAUACUAUUUUAUGUAUAUAUCUUUAAUACUAUAUUAUUUAUAUAUAUAUUUUUUCUACAUGUUAUCUUAUGUAUAUAUUUUAAUUAUAUUAUGUAUGUAUUUUUUACAUUAUAUUAUGUACAUAUUUUUUUAUAUCUAUUUUAUACAUAUGUAUAUAAUAUAUAUAUCUUAACAUUACUAGUUAUAUUUUCACUAUUUUAUGUAUAUACUUCAAACACUAUAUAUAGUAUAUUUCUAACACUAUUACUAUUUAUAAAUAUAUAUAUAUUUUACGUACAUACUCUUAAUAUCUUUAUUAUGUAUAUAUUCGUUGUUUUUAUUUCACAUUGGAUACUAUUAUUACGUUUAAUAUAUCGCAUGCAUUGUUAUUGUUUUAAUAUUGUUGUCAUAUUUAUUAUUUGUUUCAAUGUAUUUCCAACUCAUUUAUUUUUGUCUCCCGCCUAUUUUAUAUCAUUCUGUUGUUCAUUAUUUUAAAGAUUUUUAUUCAUGUUUUUACUAAUUUCAAUAAAUAAGGCAAUGUUUCGCAUUUUGGAACAUCGAAGAAUUGUGCCCUAACUUACGGGGUUUCGGUUCUCUUGUUGGUUCUAAAUAGCUAAAUAUCCUUUUGAGUUUUGAAGUGCACGGAUUUCCAAUUUAAAUUAAAAGACGACCUUGUGCUCGGGAAUUCAUAGUAUUGUGUCCUAACUUACGGGAUGUGAUACUCCGAUAUCUCGAGAUAAGGAAAUCUUUAAACAAAUCGAUUUAAGCUAAUUCAAGAAUUUUAAAAUCAGUAUUAAUGGAAAAGAUCGUAUUUCAAGUCCCUUCCCGAUUUUUAAUUUUCGACAUUAAGACACUAACUAAUCAAUUCGGUACCAAUUUUUUGGGCGUGUCGAGGGUGCUAAUCCUUCCCGCACAUAACCGACUCCCGAACUCAUUCUCUUAAGUUUCGUAGACCAAAGGCCCUGUUUUAGUAAACUAAAAUUGAUUUAUUAAAACAAAGGUGAUCCGAUCACACCUGAUAAAAGAUUGGUGGCGACUCCCGUUUUAAUUUUCACUUUCAAACAAAGUCGAUCCCCGUUUUCAAAAGAAUGGUUUCGACAAGGGACCUCUCCUGAUAGGACGUGGAAGCCUUAAAGGCUCUGCCAGAAACACCGAGGUCCUUGGAAAGACAUUGUUAUUGGAAAGUUGCUUUGCCAAUAAUCGCAUAUUAAUGAGUGGGGGUCUUAACAAACCUCACCUAAUGGGACACUAAAACCUUAAGAGGCUAAGCUAAAAAAAUAUUAAGGCCCUUGAAAGGCCUACAUCGAAAACGGAACUGGAGCGUAAGAUUUCUCAUCUAAUGUAGCAGUGAAGCCUUAAAAGGCAUGUCUAAGCUUUCACUUUAUAUAAUGGUUAAAUCACUAUUUGGGGUUUGAAUUUAGUAACUUUUCUCAUAUUGAGGCCUAAAUUUUUUUUUAUUCAAGUUAGACCUUGAACUUGGCAACCAAGGGCGAAAUUAGGGGGUUGUCAGAGCCCUAACCCCCUAAAAUAGAAAAUUUUCUAUUUAGGCCCUUUAAAAUUUUUAAAGUUUUAAGUUAGUAAAGGUAAAAUUGUACUUUGAUAAAAAAUUAAUUUAAUCUUUUAAAAAUUAUAAAGAUAUAGGUUAUUAAAAUGGUGAAAUUGUAUUUUUGCUAUUGUGAAAAUGACAAUUUAAUUUUGGCCUCCUAAAAAAAUUUCUUGGUUUCGCCCAUGUUGGCAACUAUUUUCACAUUGAGGCUUGAACUAAGCAAUUGUUCCCACUUGAAGGUUUGAAAUUUUUUCUGUCCAAGUUAGUCCCUAAAUUUGAUAAUUAUUCCUACAUUGGGGCUUUCAAUUCAAUAACUAACUUGAACAAAAAGAAAUUCAAACCUCAAUGAGAAAAAAAUUACUAAGUUCAAACCCUAAAAAGUGAGUUACCCCUUGUACUAAUUUAAAAUUUGAUCUUUGAACCACUAUUAAGAAAAAUAAAAAGAUAAACUGUGAUCUAAUGUCAAGACGAAUCGUACAAUGAUGAUUGGAAUUUAUGAUACCAUGUAAUCAUGGGAUAUUAUGUUUUCCCGGCAUCUAGGAGGAGUAUAGGACAAAGAUAAAUUUGUCAACAGAAGGCAACCAAAUGAAAAUAACUUUAGUACCCUUAGAAUAAAAUGGAACGAACAUACAUGAAAGAAGUGCCUCAUAUUAUGAUGGUAAUUGAAAAGUAUAAUAAACCAUGAGAGAGAACCAAGAAUAUGCUUUUCACGAAGCACACAACGUGGAUCCCAUUUAAAUUAUUGCUUUCCUUUCGGUUUAGACUUACUCGAAGGGAAAGGGAUCCCAUCUGGUUCUAACCAUAUCAUGCAGAAAGGUUGCUUUCUAAAUCUAAUGACCAAAUCUUGUUAACAAUGCAUGGCAAUGGAAUUUUUAGUUUUUACUUAAUGAAGAUGAUAGGUCAAGUUUACUGCGUGGAAGCUGAAGAGCAAUAGGUUUAUACAUACAACUACACAACACUUUUCGCCUACACCUUACAUUACAACUUAAAAAGCUUAGUCAAGAGAUGAAUAAUGAAUCUACUGAUCCAAUCCUUCACAGCUGUUUUCUUCAUAAUAUUGGCCACAGUUUUCACGUCAAUCAAACAUUAUUAUCCUAUUUCAUAACACACCCAUGAAAUCAAUAUAUUAUAAAAUUAGUAUUAAUUUAAAUAAUGUAUAAGUGAUUUUCGAUAAAAUGAGGAGAGGAGAGGGUACAAAAAUGAUAAAAAAAAAGGUUUACUGAUGUUAAAAAAAUUUUGAAAUUAAGAAGUGUGUUGGAAUAUGUUAAUUUAAAGCAAGGAUAUUAAAUCAUAUGUGAAAAGUUUGUGGCCCAAGUAUAAACACUUAAAUAUUUAAGGGUCAAAGUGUAAAAUGAAAAAAUUGAAAAACCAAGAGUGAAAAUAACCUAAUUUAUCCUUGGCCUCGUUGAGGUGCUCCGCAAACUCAUAGAGCUUCUCAAUUUGCUUGGCUUCCUCAAAAACGUCAGUGAUUUGGUGGAUUUAAGGAUGGAUAUAACUCAGAAACUGGAAAUGUAAGCGAACUAAAAAGUCUGUGGAAGAAUGCAAAUUUUGAUUGUAUACUUUAAUUGCAUAUGCCAUCUAAAAAUAUAAUGGAAGGCAUAAUGCAUGGCAUCAUUAGAAACAUAUUAUAUGUUGGAAGCCAAUGCAACUUCUAGAUAAAAUUCAAACUUAUCCUUUAAGAAAAAUUUUUUUGAACGAUUCUAGAAUAAAAAAUAAACAUUCUAAUUAUUAAAUAUUUGUAAAAGUAAUGACAAUGAUGUUGACAUGUAUAAACAAUCCAAUGACCACUAAACUUUAUAAAUAAGGGUGGGAGCUUUCAUUCUUGUGGUGAUGUAAGAGAGAGCUAUAAGCAAGAGAGUGUGAGAGGUAGAGAAGAGAAAAGUAGUGAGGUAAGUGUGUGUCAUAUUAUAAUUGUAUUGUGUAUUAAUAAAAGUGUUCACUUUUCUUGUAAUUGUAAGUCUCAGUUAAGCUUUAGGUUUCUAAGCACUUAGAGCACUUUUGUUGGCUUUAAUGUAUAGUCGAUUUUGCCGCUUGAAUGAUAUAUAGUCAACUCUGCUGCUUGAGUAUUAUAAUGCACUAAGAAGUUAGAAAAUAAAAGGUUAAUCAACUUUAGAGAGUUGGUGUAACACUCAUUGUAGGUCUUAGGUCCUCUAUAGUUGGCAUGUUAGGCUCAUUGAGCUUCCAACAUUGUACAUGCAACUACCUAUCAAUUUAGAAUCACAUACCUAGUUAGUAUUCUAGUAAGGUAAGUUUGUUUUUUAGUUGGUUUUCUUUUCAAUUUCUUUAAAGAAACUAAUUAUAAAAUUACUAUAUAUACAUUUAGAAUCGCAUCCUAGUAAAAUGUUCUCUUGGUUACAAAAUCUGUUUCUCAAGAUGAUCCAAUAUAGGGUGGGGAGAGUAUUUUGUCAAUCAAGAGACAUCGAAGAGGUCAAGGCAACAAUGAAAAAGGAGGAGAAGAAAACCCAACACUGAAGUUAUUGUUGGUGAUAGUAUUGAUGAUGAUUCUGAUUUUAGCAAUAGCAACUUUAAUAAUAACAUUUUUCCAUCCCUUUUAAGUUUUUUUUUUCUUUCCUUCUCUUUCCUCUUUUGGGCCUCUUAUUGAUGUUGCUAGUUGUAUCACCCCAUAAGAAUCUACAUCUUGUAUUAGCUGGUGGUAGGAAGUGCUGGUUUUGCAAUUGUCGAUGUAACACCCUUAUACCCUGUUUGAUAGUAUGAAUCCGAUAUAAGACUAUUACAUUUGGUGCCAAAAUGGUUUUGGCUAGACACUAUUUAAUUUAACAUGUUAACAACAUCUUACACGAGACCCUUACCUAUAAAUACUUCCAUAAACAAUGAAGAAGGGAUCAACUCUUCCAAAAUACUAAGAUUACACUCUGCCAAUACUCUUUCCCCCAACCUUUAUGUUCUCUUCACCUCCACUUUUCAUAACCUCCGACUCCACCCUGAUUGGGUGAACCGACCUUCAUAGCAACCAUCUUUCCUCAUCAAUAUCAACAAUAUUAAUAAUUUUAAAACUCAAUUAAAAUUAUUUUAAACUCUAAACCAUAAAUUGAGGCAUCUAAUAAAAUUGAUCCUAAAGUUUUAUUGCUUAUUCUUUAGGACGGUUCCUAAACUACCUCGUCAUGGUUGUAUCUGUACCAUUCAGGUUAACCCUUUAUUAUUUUAGAAAAUCAACAAUAAAAUUCACAAUUAUUUUUAAAAAUUUUGAAUACAAUAAUAUGAGAUAUUAUGACAUCAUAAGUUUAAUAUUUGUAUUUGAAAUAUUAAUCCAUUAAUUUAUAUUUACACUUAAGAAAAACUAUUAAGUAUAAUUAUGGGAUAAAUGGUAAAAUCAAAGCUGUAGCAUCUGUAUAGAUUCUACUUAAUUUCCAAAUCAGUUGUAUAUAUAGUUUUGUGGCAUAAAAGUUUUUUUUUUUUUUUGGACUUUGCCUCAAAUAGCUGGAGUCCCACAUGAUCUCUAAGUUUUUUCUUUUUAUUGUACUACUACUUAGAUUUAACAAAAACAUUACUUUCGUGUUAUUACUUAUUAGUACAUCUUUUAAGAGCAAUCUAAUAAUAAUCCACAUGAACAUUAUGAACCAUAAAACAACAACAAAUUCUUGAUUUUAUUUUCACACGUACCAAUAUGCCAAAAUAUAUGGAUCCUUAAUGAUUAGAUUAUUGCAACCCUAAUAAUUAGUGCAGGUUUCAACAAAACAGGUGAUUAUCAUUAAGCCAACUAAUCAAACACGAUUUUGACAAGUAUAAUAAUUUUUAAGUUAAAUUAUCUAGUUGCACAUCUAAUUUUUAGUGUGCUUUCAUUUGGGUGAUUAAAAAUGAAAUUUCUGCAAUUUCAUCACUUAACUUUUAGAGUAUUUUUAUUUUAGUCAUCUAAUUAUUAAAUCUUUAACUAUAAUUAAUUUCUACAAGUCACAUCAUGUCCACACUUUCAUUUUUUUCACCUAAUGUUUAAGUUGAUUUCAUUUUAGCCACAAAAAAAAAAAAAUCCUUUUUUUAAGUAUUGAAUGAGGUAAAAAAAAUAAGGAUUAAAGUGAAAAGCGGUAGAAACUAAAAUAAUGCAUUAAAAAUUUGUCAAAUUGUAUUUGUUUAUCACAUUGCUGAAAAUUAAAUUUCUUUUUUUUCAAUAUUGAAAUUUUAAAUUUCAAAAAAUAAAAAUUAAUUAAAUAAAUUGUUGAAAAUUUUUAUUCCAUUAUAAUGUUAACUGAUUUAUUACUAUAAUAUUAAAAUUAAUUAAAUUAAUCUCAUUCUGAAUUUUAAAAUUUUAUUUUAUAUUUCCAUAUUACUUUUAAUGAAAUCAAUUUGAUAACUCAUAUUUAAUAAUUUUCUGCAAAACUUAAAUUUCUUUUCAUUAUAUAAUCUUAAAUCUUUCAUACUAAGCUAAAAGCAAAUUAAUUGUUUGUUCUUCGUUUCGGUAAAGAAGUGAUGAAGAAUUCUAGGUUUUGUUUGGCAUGGAAGAAAUAAUUAAUUGAUUUAGUUAAUUGUAAGGACUUUUCUUUGCUUUUAGCUUAGUAUAGAAGACUCGAUAUCAUAUAAUCAUAAGAAAAUUGAGUUUCAUGUACAAUUAGUAAAUAUGAUUUAUUUGAAUUGAUUUUAAGUUGGAAACAUAAAAUAAAAUUUUAAGAUUUAAAAGGAGACUAAAUUAAUUAAUUUUAAUAUUAUAGUAACAAAUCGGUUGACAUUAUCAAGAGAUAAUUUUUUAAUUAACUUAUUUAAUUGAUUUUGAUGUUUUAAAAUUUAGAAUUUAAUAUUAAAAAAAAGUUAGAACUUUCGACAAUGGAUAAACAAGUAUAAUUUAAUAAUUUUUAACGCAUUAUUUUAAUUUCUAUAACUUUUUCGCUUUAAUCCUUAAUUUUUUUUAUCCGAUUAGUAUAAAAGAAAAUAUUUUUGGAUAACUAUAAUGAAAGCAACCUGGAAGUUAGGUGACCAAAAUGAAAGUGUGAACAUGAUGUAAGUGUGUAUGUAACACCCCUUACCCAUAUCCGUCAUCGGAAUAAGGUACAAGGCAUUACCAGAGCUUAUCGAAUCAUUAUUAAUCAGGAGAAAAAGUAAAACAAAGUAAACAUGUAAUAUUUAAUAAAUUUGUAUAACAUGGUAAUUAACUUACUGCUUCUCUAUAUUCAACAUAAUUAUGCAAAGCAUAAUUAUUCGAAUUGAUCAUGAGCCCUAAUACCUAUUCUUAUCACAUUGUUAGUCAUAUAAUUCAUAUAUGGGCUCAACUUUCAUUAAAUUUCUCAUAUGCAUAUACUUUUACACACCAUUUAUUCACAUAACUUAUAACAAUCAUAUCUAUGUAUUUUAAAUACGCUUUCAUAACAAUUUGUCUUGAUUUCAAACUAUCUCACAUUGAAGCUUUACUCAUCAAAUCAUUUGAAAUACUAUCUUUAUACAAAUAGUACACUUGAGUUGCACAAUUCUAUAAUUAUGAACGAAUACAUUUAUAAAAUAUAUUCCAUGUUCAUAUAUCAUAGUCUCAUGUCUCCAUAUAUCAAAUAUUUAACCAUCAUUUUCUUAUAUUUCAAAUAAAUACAUGUAACCAUACAUAAGCAUGCCAUUCACCAUUUCUUCCUGUCUAUUACAAUUUCAAAUGACAAAUUUAUGUGAAUGAGCUCAACAAUAACCAUGAAAAUACUUACCACAUUCUUUCACACAUAUUCCACUUAUAACAUAUUUUUUUUAUAUUUGGCUUGACAUUUACUAAGCAAUAUCGGAUAUUCAUUUAUUAGGCAAUAUCAAAUAUUCAAAUUAUUCUUUAACAUAUAUAAUAUUUAAUUCAAACAUGAAUUUAUAACAUUUUUCAUUUUCACAAAGUUUAACAUUUACCAAAUAUUAUCGAGCAUGUGAUCAAUUUAUGCAUAAGUCACUCACAUAUUUUCCUCUUCUUCCUCUCCAUUCCACAUCCUUAAUGUAUAUAACACACUUGUAAAUUACAUUAUCUAUAAUUUUUACUAUUUACUUAUAUGAAUUUUCAAGCUGUCCAUUUGUGUCAUAGUCACUAAAUUAUUUUUGUCUUGAGCUACAGAACUCCAAAUUAAGAUCCGCUAAUUUUUCCUAAAACUAGACUCACGUAUCUUCUUUACCAUAAAAUUUUUAGAAUUUUUGGUUUAACCAAUAAGUACAGUUUAUUCUUUAAAAUCACCCCUAUUCUACUGUUUGACAGUUCUGACCCUUCUUCACUAAAAAAUAAUUAUCUCCUCGUACAGGACUUGAAUAAUGUUCUCGUUUAUUUCUCUUGAAAAUAGACUCAUUCAGGAUUCUAAAAAUAUAAAUUUAAGCCCCUAAUUAUUUUUAUUCAAUUUUUUUUUUGAUUUUCCAAAGUCAAAACAAGAGAACCCGAAAUCAUUCUGACCUUGUCUCAUAAAAUUUAUUAUAUCUCAUGAUUUACAAUCCAUUGCUUACAUCAUUUCUUCUAUAAGAAACUAGACUCAAUAAGCUUUAAUUUCAUAUUUUAUUCAUCCUCUAAUUCAAUUUCUAAAAUUUUUGGCGAUUUUUCAAAGUUAGACUACUGGUGCUGUCCAAAACAGUUUUAACGUAAAAUGUUGAUUUUCAUUUUACCCCAAAUUUCACAGUUCAUACAAUUCAGUCCUUGCUCAAUUAAUCCCUCAAUUGAGAUAAUUUUUCUCAAUUAAUACUUUAGUCUAUCAUUUUAAACUACUUCAUAACCCCUGAAAAUCAGAGCUUUAGCACUAGACCUUAAUUCCAAACUCUUUCAUAAUUAGGUCCUAAAAUCAAUUUCCCUCAAUUUUACUUACUAAAAUCAUCAUACAUCAAAAUUAAAGCUUCAAUUCUAUAUUUAUUCAUCAUAUGCUUCCAGCACUCAUCCAUAACAACUUUAAAAAUUAGCCAUGGAAUCAAAAACUAAUGACAUAGUAAGUUGGACGCAAUUGUAAAAGUCCAAAAUCUUAGAAAUUUCAAGGAGAAAGCAAGAAUUAAACUUACAUGAAGCUAUAGUAUGAAAACCAACUUGAACCCUCUUCCAUGGCUAUUUUUCAGCUGAUGAAAAUGAAGAGAAAUUAAGAGAAUUCUAGAUAUUCCAUUCUAAUCCCCUUUUUAUUUAGUAAAUUUUGUUAUUUUCCCAUUUUGCCCUUAUUUCCUCAAUUUUCCUGAUUUUUCUCUGCUUGUGCUGCCUAAAGUAUUUCCUUUAGGCUUAUUUUCACUUUAGGUCCUUCCCAUUUAACAAUUGAUCUAUUUAAUCCUUCUAGUAACUUUUACAUCUUUUUCAAUUUAGUUCUUUUUAUUUAAUUAAUCACCCAAAUGUCAAAAUUGUAACACCCCUACCCGUAUCCAUCGCCGGAACAGGGUUACAAGAUGUUACCGAAGUUUAUAGAAUAACUACACAUAAUUUUAAAAAUUUUCCUAUGUUCAUAACAAAACUGCCCCCCUAAGUCAUAGUCAUUAAAUUAUUUAUAUCUUGAGUUACAGAACUCCAAAUUGAGAAUCGCUAAUUUUUCUUGAAACUAGACUCACAUAUAUUUUUAUCAUAAAAUUUUAAGAAUUUUUGGUCCUUCCAAUAAGUACAGUUUAUUCUUUAAAUUCAUCCUUGUUUCACUGUCCAACAGUCCUGACCCCUCUUCACAAAAAUUUUAUUAUCUCUUAGUACAAAAUUCGAAUGAUGUUCUCGUUUAUUUAUUUUGAAAAUAUACUCAUCAAGGAUUCUAAGCAUAUAAAUUAUAACUCGUAAUAUUUUUGUACAAUUUUUAAUGAUUUUCUAAAAUCAGAACAGGGGAUUUCAAAAUCAUCCUGACUCUGUCCUACACAAAUUCAAAUAUCUCUUAAUAUGAAAUUCUUUUACUUACAAAGUUUUCUUUAUAUGAAACUAGACUCAAUAGGCUUUAAUUUCAUAUUUAAUUCAACCUCUAAUUCAAUUUCCAAAAUUUUUUGUGGAUUUUCAAAGUCAGACUACAGCUAUUAUGUAAGACUAUUUUAGUGCAAAAUAUUAAUGACUAAAGUUUAUAACACCUUUAUUUUCUUUCAUUACAAUAUUUCCUAUCACUCCCUUUUAUUUUCCUUCACUAUCAUAUUAUGAACAUAGUUCCUCAUGUAAGAAAACUCUAUUUUAACAUCACAAAUAUCUAUUACAUAAUAUCAUAUAUCCUUAAUUAAUAUACCAUAUGGCACAUCAAUAUGCAUAUUUUUCCUUACCAUACUUAUACUAUUUUAUCCAUGUGUGUAUGAGAACCAUUUAAAACCUUAUGAACUCAUAUGUUUAUAUAUAUAUACAUCAUUGCUAGCCAUAUCAAUGGCUAACUUCCAAACAUUGUGUAACAUUUAUUAUUUCACUAAUUUAGCUACACAUGCCGUUUUCAAAAUAAGUAAACUAUUAUACCAAAAUUGAUAGGAUGAUAGUGUGAUGAAGUCUCCGACCCGUCUUCCACUUCUUCCGAGCUUUCAAGCACUAUAAGACAAGGAAAAUAAAAUCUAAUAAGCAUAUUUAUGCUUAGUAAGUUCAUAUAACAUGAAUCAAACUUACCAAUCAUAUUUAAUAUUUAAAUCGUAUAAAAGCAUAAUUUUCAUUCAUUUUGGUUAUUUGCCUAUUCAUAAACAUUUCAAUCAAACACGUUAGUAACAGACGUACCAAUAGGCAUAGAUGAGCUCAUCAUGCUAUUGUCUCAUUCCAUCUCAUAUUUCUCAUGUUUUGUUUUACUAUCUCAUCCAUUGAAUCAUUGGAAUUAUCGAUGGAUUUUCUAAGAGUACACGCAAAGUGUACGUUUUCAUAUUUCGUCAAUUCAUAUCCAGGAUUUAGCCCUUAGGAUGUUAAAUCAUCAAGCACUCUCUCAAGUUACAUAUCAAGUAACCGUAACGAAUCAAGAUUACCAUUUUAGAGAAAAUCCUAUUCACCUUGAGUUACCAUAGUAAACAGGAACAAAUCCUAUCCACUUUAUAUAUUUCUAGUGAAUCAGGAGUAAAUCAUAUUCACUUUAAUUUCUUUUAGUGAAUUAGGAAUAAAUCCUAUUCACUUUUAAUUCUCGAGAAGGCUUUUGUCAGAUUUUUCCAUCCUAGCUCAAUCCAUUUUUGCAACUCAUGCAGAACCUCAUAUAGUUCGAGAAAUUUCCAUUAUCCAUCGAUCACCAAUAUUCAAACGGAAUUUCACCCAUUUAUUAAUUUCCAAACAUGUAUCAUUUCUUUCAUUUCACAUCUAUAUAAUUCAUAUAUUCAAUUUCAUACAUCAUAUACAAUACAAUACAAUACAACAUUUAAAUUGACAUAUUUACAUACUCAUUCAAGUUAUACGAACUUACCUCGAUAGCAACUUGUCAUCGAAAUUCUUUUAAUCCGAUAUUUUUUCUUUUCCACGAUCACUUUUCUUUUUUGAUCUUUUCGGGUCUAUAUAAAUAAAUUUAACAUCAAUUCAACAUAUUUCGUACAUAUUUGAAUUCAACUCAUGUUCUAGACAAAAUUACUAUUUUGCCCCUAAAUUUUUCAUAAAUUCCAUUUUUAUCCCUAGGCUUGGAAAUUAAUAUCUAUGCAAAAUAAUCCUUGUUCCAAGCCUAUUUGAUUUUUACAUCUCACAUUUACAGCACUUAUAUUUCAUAAAAUUUAGAAUUUUUCUUUAAAUUUCACAAGUUUACAAAUUAGUCCCUUUUUACAUAAAACUUUUAAUUUAUUCUUCAAUUUAAUCCUUUACCUAAUUCUAACUUGAAAUUCUAUAAAUUUAAACCCUAAUUCAUCAAUUAAUUCAACAUAAACCAUAUCCAAAAAUCUACUAACUUUCAAAUUUUCAACAUAUACUAAAUAGUAUUUUAUUCUAGGAUUCCAAAAACAUCAAAACUAUAAGAAAAGGAACUAAAUUGGCUUACCAAUUGAACUUGAAACCUUAAACCCCAAUUUCUCCCUUUUCUUUCUUUUCCUUUUUCCUUUCUUUCUUUCUCCCCUGUUUUUUCGUUUCUAUUCUGUUCUUCCUUUUUUUCUUUCUUUUGUUUAUUAUAUUUUAGUUAUAUUAUUUUAUUAUAAUAUCUAUAAUAAAUAAAUACAUAUAUAUAUUACAAAUGUACAUAUAUAUUUAUUACACAUUUAUAUUAUUAUUACCACACAAUUAUCAUAGUUUAAUUUAUUUUAUUUACUUUAUUUAAUUAAUAUAAUAUAAUAAUAUAAUAAUAUUUACUUAAAUUAUAAGUAAAUAUAUAAUAAUUACUAAUAUAUGUAUAUUAUUUAUACACAUGGAAAUUAUUUUUACCACACACAUGUCAAUUCAUGGCGUAAUUUCUUAUUUAGUCCCUUGGAUUUUCUCUAUUCUAUAAUUCAACUUUUACCCUAUGUUUAAUCUUGUCCUUCCACUCAAUUGCUCCUAAUUUAACAAAUUCACCUAUCCAAAACCUGAUUAACCACACAACUAACUUCGUAAAUAUUUAUUAAAAAUAUUUACGAAUCUAGUUUACCGGAACGGGUCCCGAAAAUGUAUUUUUUUUCAAUUAACUACAAAAUCAAUAAAAUUUUCUUAUCAAAAUUUUCAUGCAAUCUUUCUAUCAUAAUAUAGACCAUGCCAUAAUUUUAAAAUAAAAUUUCCUUUUAGCUCGGAUUUGUAGUCACAAAACCACUGUUCCGAUUUCACUAAAAAUAGGCUGUUACAAAAAAUUUUUAACGAAAUUUUAAUACUACCUUAUUGACACUCUAUAAAUAUUUAUAAAAAUAUUUAUGGCUUGGUUUAUAACACCAAGAUCUCGAUACUUUUUUUCUUAAUUUCUUGACCAAAUAAAUGUUUAUAAAAUACAAUUUACUAUUUCAAAAAUAUUUUAAAAGCUACAUUUGGCUCAUAAAUAUUAAAUAAUAUGAUCUACUAGUUCAUUUUUCAGAUUUGGUGGUCUCGAACCACUAUUUCCGACAUCGCUGAAAUUUAGGCUAUUACAGUGUACAAGUUAAUUGUUGUUAAAGAUUGAAUGGUUGAUUGACUAAAAUGAAAACGUUCUUAAAAUUGAAUAUAAAUUUAUAAAAAAAUUAUUUUGAGUGAUGAAAAUAAAAACACUCUUAAAAAUUGGAUGAAUAUAUGAUAGUUUGCCUUGAUUUUUAUAUAUACCCGAAUAUCUCGUAAAGAUAGUUGCUUUUUUGGCCUACAGGCAAACUAGGAUUACAAUUUCACAACUUGCUCGAAAAGGAAAGAAAAGUCAAAGAUACAUUAUUGGUCACGCCUCUUGAAUCAUCAAGUUAAAUGUCCUUGGCAAAUCUCUUAUCACCCUUUUGUACAUAACAUUGUCUAUAGCCCUACUAUCAGACAAAAAUCUGAAAUCUUUGAAAUCUAACGGUGUGAUAGAAGGUGAGUUAAUUUGGGUGGCAGGGGAUGCGGACUAACGGAGAGUGGAACACAUUGUGACCGCCUUAAAAAAGGGCGAUCGGACAUCUCCAUGUGUUGAGCUGUCACGGGAAAAACAUCACGGCGUGCCUCUCCUUAAUUCCUACGCAACUCUCUUUUCCGUGAUCAAAAUCAUUACAUUAUUAUUCAUAAAACAACAUUGUUGAGUUUUUUUAAAAUUUUUAUAAAACCUAUUGCCCAAAUCAAUUAUGGUAUUGAUAAAAUUGUUUUAAGAAGAGUAUUUAUACUAUGGUGUCAUUAAAGGAGACGUAUUUUUAAUUUUAUUAAGUAGAGAAAAUUAUAUAUAAAAUAAAGAGAAAUAAGAAAUAAGGCUAAUCAUUCCACACAGUUCCAAUUUGGUGAGUGAUUUUUAUUAUUUCAAACUCUGCUACUUAAAUCAUAUAAAGAAUCCUUUUAGAACCAUAGGAAACAUUUCAUAUUUUCGAAUUUAUUACUUGAAAACAAAUAUCAGAUUUGUCCAGAACAUCCGUGAAAACAACAUUCUUAAAUUUUAUAAAUAAUUAUUUGAGGACAUCUGGAGUCCAAAAAAGUCGUAUACAAAUUUACUUUUAAAAAAUUGUAUAAGUUUUGAAUUUUGAAGCAAAUUAUGUCCACCUUCAUAAACGAAAGAAAAAAAAAGAAAAAGGUCACUAGUUAAGUUAUUGACGUAUGAAGAAAAAAGUCAUGAAUAAAUAUUUUUUUAAAAUUAAUAAACAUAAUAUGCCAAAAAAACAAAUAGCAAAUGAAUUUUAGUGUUCAACAUAUGUGGGUAUCAAAUUUUAAAAUAUUCUAAUUAUAUUCUCAAAUUAUUUGUAUUAUAUCAAUUCAGUUAUUCCAUUAUUGAAACUAUUAAUUUAAUUAUUAAACAAUACAAAAUUUUGUGAUAUAAUUUAAAAUAAAAAUGUUUAACCUUUAAAAUUUAAAAAAUAAAAUAACAACAAAAAAAAAGAGAGUGACAAGUUUUAAAAAUAUCAAAAUUAAAAUUUUUAUAAUAUUCAUUUUCUUAAGAUUUUAUUUUGAAUUAUGUAAUUUAAAAUUUAAAAGUUAAAUUAGCGAUCUUAAUAAUAAAAGGAUGUUAUUAAUAUAAUAUGGAUAAUAUAAAAAUUUGAAAAUGGAAAUCAUAUAUUUUCAGGAUGACUGGGGCUUUAAUUUAUAUCUUUAAGAAUACAUUAAAUAUACCAAAAAGAAGAAAGGGAAAAACAAAAACCGAAACGAACAGAGAGUAUAAUAUUCAGUUAUUAACUUCCUAUAUAAAAGCAUCUAUUUUCUCUCCAACGCCAUAAACGUAGCAGAUUCAAAUCAUUUUAGAGACCACUCACCAAAAGGAAAAGAGAAGCCAUUAAAGUUGCCCAUCAUUAACUAUUCAAUUUUCGUUUUUUCUUUUUUUUGAAAGAAAAAACCCAAACCCUAACAUUGAAGACAAUGGAUUUUUCCUCCAAGGUCGCAAAGAAAGAAACCAGCGGUGGCUCAGGUCUUCUCUUAGGACGUUACGAGGUCGGGAAACUCCUCGGACACGGCACUUUCGCUAAAGUUUAUUACGCGCGCAACGUAAAAACCGAUGAAAGCGUGGCCAUCAAAGUGUUGGACAAGGAAAAAAUCCUCAAGGGUGGCUUAAUCGCUCACAUUAAGCGCGAAAUCGCUAUCCUCCGCCGCGUGCGCCACCCCAACAUCGUACAACUCUUCGAAGUUAUGGCCACCAAAACUAAGAUCUACUUCGUCAUGGAAUACGUACAUGGCGGUCAGCUCUUCAGCAAAGUCGCCAAAGGCAGAUUAAAAGAAGACGUCGCUAGGAAAUACUUCCAGCAAUUAAUCUCAGCUGUUAUUUUCUGUCACGCCCGCGGGGUUUACCACCGCGACUUGAAGCCCGAGAAUCUACUACUAGACGAAAAAGGGGAUUUGAAAGUCUCCGAUUUCGGGUUGAGCGCGGUUUCGGAUCAGAUCCGACAAGACGGUUUGUUUCAUACGUUUUGCGGGACCCCUGCUUACGUAGCACCGGAAGUUUUGGGGAGAAAAGGUUACGAUGCUGCCAAAGUAGAUAUCUGGUCUUGCGGGGUGAUUUUGUUUGUUUUAAUGGCGGGGUAUUUACCUUUUCACGAUCAUAACAUUAUGGCGAUGUAUAAGAAGAUUUACAGGGGAGAGUUCAGGUGCCCCAAAUGGUUUUCACCUGAUUUACUUCGGCUACUUACCAAGCUUCUGGAUACGAACCCGGACACGAGAAUAACCAUCUCGGAAAUCAUGGAGAACCGUUGGUUUAAAAAGGGAUUUAAACAUAUUAAAUUUUACAUUGAAGACGAUAAAGUUUGCAGCGUUGAGGACGGGGAUGAUGACCUGGGAUCAAGUUCGGACCAUUCAACGCACUCUGAAUCGGACGCCGAGCUUGAAACAAGGAGGAAAGUUACUACUUCAUUGCCGAGGCCAGCUAGUUUGAAUGCCUUUGAUAUUAUAUCCUUUUCGCCGGGUUUUAAUUUAUCUGGAUUAUUUGAAGAAGGGGAGGAAGGGGCAAGGUUCGUGUCAGGGGCACCUGUUACAAAAAUUAUUUCAAAAUUGGAAGAGAUAGCCAAGCUGGUUAGUUUUACAGUGAGGAAAAAGGAUUGUAGAGUUAACUUGGAGGGUUCUAGAGAAGGAGCUAAAGGGCCAUUAGCGAUUGCUGCCGAGAUAUUCGAGUUGACGCCUUCUUUGGUUGUUGUGGAAGUGAAGAAGAAAGGAGGGGACCGAGGAGAGUACGAGGAGUUCUGUAACAAGGAAUUGAAACCUGGGUUAGAGAAUUUGACGCGAGACCAAUCAACAUCUGAUGCACCUGUAACUGCACCCACACCAGCCCCUGCCCCUGCCCCUGCCCCUGCCCCUGCUGCAUAUUUACCUUCGGAUACGGAAUAGAUUUUAAAGAGUGAGGAAGAGGAGAAAAGGGUAAUUAAAGCUCUUUCCUUUCUCUCUCUCUCAUGCUUUUUGUUGUCCCCUUCCUUCGUCUUAGGCUGUCGUAUCAUUAAAAAAAAAAAGGUUGUUUUUGUCCUUUCUUUAUGUUGUGCUAGUUGGGUUGAGCUUGGGAUGGCUUUGAUAUAUAUUUGUAUGAUCUAUUCUUGCGUCCAGAAUGGCAGAUUAGAUCACAGAGGCUUGAAUACGAAGUCAUACAAAUCUCGGCAUUUGUAUGUCUGGCUGUAUAUUAUCAUCAACAUAAUUGAUCAUAUGAUUUAAUGAUACAUUCUAAUUUAUAUCCUCACUCUUUUGUAAGUUUGACUGGUUAGUGUGUGACAAGUUCAACGCUUAGCAUUAGCUCUAGUCUCUGUUGCUCAACUUCUGUAUGCUACUUUGGCCAGAUCGCUUUUAAAGACAAAUAGCACUUGCAAAUAUGACAAGUAUGACCUGAAGCAUGAGCUCUACUCCAUUAUUCAAAAGCCUUAGUCUCACUAGUUGAGGGUUUGGAAUAAUCAUCUUUGAGAAGAGAAGCAAAUUUUCUUACAAGCAGUUGCCUUCUGGUAGUAAUUUGUGCCAUUGUUUGUUUGAGGGUUGUAAUCUGAAUUCCGGCAAUUAGGGACAAAACCCAAAUUUCAUAUCAAGGGCGGGGAUGGAUAUAAUCUCUUGCAAGAACUGCAUUCCGUGCUUUGACACAUUUGAUGAAAUGCAAGUUGCACAAGUAACAUAGAAAAGGACUGCCAAGAGAACUGAAACAAAUCAUUAACUUCUUUACACUAAAUCUGUUAAUAGAUGUGGAAUACAAUCUGGAUUGUUGUGCUAGGAGGCAAUUCUCCGGUUGAGCCUAAGGUUAUAAUCGAGUCAAAUUGAACUUGAAUGGUGGUAAGUUUGAGCUCGAUUUGAAAUUAAGACUUCAAAACUCUGUUUAAACUUGAUUUGAACAUUAAUUUUUAAAUUGAAUUUAGCUUGAAACAUAUUUGAGUUACUCGAGUUUGAGUUCAAGCUCGAUUAAACUCAUUUAUUAAUGAUUAUACAAAAACUUGAAUUAAAAUCAAUUUUAUUCAACAUAGAGAUUCAUAAAAGACAAAAAUAUAUUAAAAAUUAAAAACUCUUCUAAUGUAAUCUAGAUAGAAUUUUCAAAUUCAAUAAAUUAUGCUGCACUUUAUAAUUUUAGAAUUAAUUUCAAAUUUUUUCAAGCUUGGACAUUAUUAAACGUGGCCAUUUUGAAAAUUGAAACCAUAAAUAUAAAUUUUGAAACCAUUUUAGGUUUUCCUAGUUUCUAAAGGUCAGUGGCCCAAAUGCAAAAUCAUAAUUGAGUUCAACUUUUUCCUUUUUUUUUUUACAGCAAAUGGUUGCGAUCGGAUUACGGCAUCCAUGCUAAUAAAAAAGAAUUAAGAUUACAGGUUGAUAAUUGGACCGUGACACUUAUAAACUGAGUCUGAUAACUGGAGUAAUAAUUGGAAAAGGCAUAAAUAAAAACAGUCUUGUGCUUUGAAGAAUACUAUGGAAAAUCCUUAAACAACAAAAUUCGUAAUUUGUUUGGUUUAUACUUUAUUCUAGUUUCCUCUUUCUCGUUUCCACGCAAUACUUAUCAAAUAUGACAAUGGCAAUGGCGGAUGGCUUCCAUUAUAUAACAACAGCUAUAGGGAUUCCAUGUGUCGGUGAAGACUGAUUUCAUGAUAAGCCUAGUUUCUCAAACAAUGUCGAUAGCAUGUGCAGGUCUCAACAAGGCAUGAGUUAGUUCAUGGUGUUCUUAAAUACUAACGUACGUAUGGUCUUGGUGCUCUUUUUGGUUCAAAUUUUGGCUAUAAAAUUUUGAUAAACGUAGAAGAUUUCAACGGAAACUGUAACAAAAAGCAUACAAUAAAUACUAUCUGUGUUGAUUUUAUAAGAAUGGGUUAAUUAGAUAUAUACAACCUAUUAAAAUAAACUUAAACAAGAAAACAUUAGAAACGAAGUGCAUUGCCAGAUGCUUAUGCUAUAUAUGCAUAGUUACAUACAUACAGAAUAGUUACAUACAUGCAUACAAAGGUGAAGCUUCUUACUCGCAACAAGAAAAUCCACGCCUUGCAAUGGUGUCAAUAUGGCAAGUAAUUCCUUAAGGUUGCUUAGCCUCAGCUUGUCAGCCUCCUGCAGUAUAUUCGCCAUAGUGCUCUUGUGUUCAUCCAGUGCAUGAUCUACAUCCCCACUAGAUUCACCCACUCGGCUCAUCCUUUUGGCAACCAUGGCAAUUGGUUGGUCUGCUAUGUUCUCCUGUAAGCCGGCCAACUGACUCGAAAGCGUCUCUUCUUCCUCGAUCGUCUUAAUGUGCAAAUUAUUUAUCAUUCUGAGCUGCGUUGCCAAAACCUGGCCUAGGAAGCCCUGGGUGAUUUCAAUGAGCUGGUACUCCACCUGUGACCCACAGAGUGCAUAAGUGAGUCGAAUGUAUAGGGAAGGUCUACAACCUGUUAUCCAAAGCAAGGAGUUCAAGGCGAUGUUCCAUGACGGUGAAAACAAGCCUGAAAUAUCCAGCUGGACUCUCUUCUCAAUAUACUUUAGGAAACUGUCGAGGGACCUCUCAACCAGUUGGGCGCAAGUGUUGUCCGUUAAGUUGCCAUUAUUUUCGUUCUGGUUAAGGGCUUGAAGGCAGCAAAGGAGCCCAAGCACAGGACCCAACUCAACGCAACAGAAGAGAAAGCAGGUUGAGUCAUUAACUUAGCCCAUCAUUGUUAGUUAGCCCAGCAGAGUGGGUUUUUGGGUAAUUGGCAAAAUUUUGGGUUAUAUUACCAUUUGGCACCUAUAUUUGGCUUCAAUGUUCAAUUUGGUAUCUGAGUUUUUUUGUGCCAAUUUGGUACCUAAUUUUGGUUUCAAUAUUCAAUUUGGUAACUAAACUAAAUGUCGAAACCAUUUUUAUUUUGAAAAACGGAGGUCGACAUUAAAACGAAAAUGGAGUCGCCACCAAUCCUUUUUGUUUAGGUGUGAUCGGGUCACCUUGUAAUCGAUCAUUUUAAUAAAGUAUUUCGGUUUAAAAACAAUAUUUUUGGUCUAAGAAAAACUAGAAAACGGAUUCGGGAGUCAGUUACGCGAGAGGAAGGAUUAGCACACUGGCAACGCCCAAAAUUGGUACCGUAUUGAUCAAUUAACAUCCUAAUGUUGAAAAUUUGAAAAAGAUUUUAAAAUACAAUUCCUUUAAAACAUUUGGAUAACUUGAAUUGGAUAUUGAGAUUCUCUCAUUUAGAAGGAAUAAAAUAUCAUAUCCAGCACGAUAGGACACAACAUUUCAAACCCUCGAUACAAGAUCAUCUUAUAAUUUCCAAAACUCAUGCAUUUGAAAUUUCAAAAGGAUAUUUGGCUAUCUGGUCAAACAGUAAGUCGAAACCCAACACGAUUGGGCAUGAUUUCUCGAAUUUUCAAACACAAAAUAUUGCCUCGUUUUAAUUUAAGAGAACAUGGACGAAUUUUCAAAAGGAUAUUCAGUUAUUCGGUUGAACGAAAAAUCGAAACCUAGCACGAUUGGGCACGAUUUCUCGAAUUUCCAAACACAAAAUAUUUUCUUAUUUUUUAGAAAUCCUUAUCUCGAGAUACAAAAUGUCAUAUCCAGUGAGUUAGGACACAACACCUCGAAUUCCUGAGAAUAAGCUUUUAUUUGGAACUUAUACGUUUUGAUUGAAAAAGGGUACCCGGUUACUUAGAUUCAACGAGGAAAAUUGGAACCCAGUAAGUUAGGGCACAAUCUUCUCGAAGAUGCCAAAUACCGAGUAUUGUCUUAUUUUGAAAACUUUUGAAUAAAAUGAUUUUACAACUUAAACUAUUAAAACACGACCUUUAAACGAAUAAAAUGCGAUGAAAUAAUAAUGUGCAACGCAAAGUAAUAAUUCACAAAUAAAAUGUUAUAAUAAUAAAUCACAAAUAACAAAUAAAUACAAAGUAAGAAAAUCUAAAAUAAAAUAUAAAACAAUUCUAAGCAAAUAAUACAUAAAAAGGAUUUAAAAUGAAUGUUAUAAAAGCGAUCUAAAGUAUAUAAAAUAAUUUUAAAAAAAAAAUUCAAUUCCAAUGAAAAUAGGAAAAGAGAGAAUAAUCCAAUUCCAAAUUGAAGUAGGAAUACCAAAAGUCCUCCAAAAGUAAUUUGUUUUCUUUCAAAGAACAAAAUACCCCUAUUUAUAUACAUGGGGUUUACUAAAAAUAGCCUAACUAAUUUAAUAAUAAAAUAAAAUAAAAUAAAAUAAAAUAAAAAUAAUAUCUUUCCAUUUGUAGCCUUUUACCAAGUCAACAAAAUUUGAUAACCCCUUAGCUUUCUCCAUCUUUUUGAUUUGGCCACAAUUUAAUGAUUGUCUUUCAAUUUGACCCUUUUUGGCUUGUUUUCGACCGAUUGCAUCCUUUGGUGUAACACCCCUAACCCGUAUCCGCUGCCAGAACAGGGUUUCGGAGCAUUACUACCAUUUGCAGAUCACAUAAAAAAAUUAAAAUACUUACUGAUUCAAUGCAUCAUAUAAAAUAAAUAUAUUACCAUUUAAUCAACAGUUUGGCACUUGUAUAAGCAUCAAACAACAACAUUGUUAGUAUACUUACACAUAUCUCAUAUAAAUUCAACAUUGAUAUAUCUAUUUUCUCGACAUGUCACACUUGAGUUUAAUAAUAGUCUCAAUUACAUAAUUUCCUUGUAUCAACAUAUCAAAGAUAAUCAUAUAUGUACAUGUCAUGAAACAUAUCAUGCUCUUACCGUUUCUUCACAAGCAUAUAUCAUUCAUUUCAUUAUAUCAAUAUUUUAUGCUUCAUCAUUUCCAUAUAUUUUAUGUAUAUUUAUUCUGGUAAUAGCUUAUAUCAAACUUAACAUAAAUUAUAUUCCAUGUACUUAUACUUAUUUCGUUUAUCCAUUUUCAUAAUUAUUUCAUACAAAGCUUUUGUACAUAUAUUUCCAUAUGACCAGUUCUUGUAAACAUUUCACACAACCAUUUCAUAUAACCAUUCGUCAUCUGAUACAUUUUACCUGAAUAUCAAUUGUUCAACAAAUUUUAUAGCGUCUCCCAUCCAUGGUCUUAUUUAUCUUUGACGUGAUGCCAUAGUGUCUUUCAACUAUGGUCUUACUCAUUUUCUGUCAUGUUGCCAUGAUAUCUUUCAACCAUGGUCUUAUUCUUUUCAUGUCACGUUGCCAUGGUAUCUUUCAACCAUGGUCUUACACAUCUCAUAUCAAGUUGCCAUGGUAUCUUUCAACCAUGGUCUUACACAUUUCAUAUCAGGUUGCCAUGGUAUCUUUCAACCAUGGUCUUACACACAGGUUGCCAUGGUAUCUUUCAACCAUGGUCUUGCACAUUUCAUAUCAGGUUGCCAUGGUAUCUUUCAACCAUGGUCUUACACACAGGUUGCCAUGGUAUUUUUCAACCAUGGUCUUACACAUUUCAUAUCAGAGAGCACACUCCCGCGAACCUCAUCCUUACAGUGGGAUUACCAGUCCAGGCUAAAUCCCCUGUAAUAUAAACUCAUAGAGUAUUGUCGGGAUUACCAGUCCAGGCUAAAUCCCCUGCAACGACAAUUACUCUAAUGAGCUUGGAUCUGAAUUACCAGUCCAGGCUAAAUUCAGACCUUAAUUCGGAUUACCCGUCCGAGCUAAAUCCAUUUUACACAUAUUCUUCGGGAGGGCUAUAUCAGGAUAGGAUCACCCGUCCGGGCUAGAUCCUUUUUACCGUCAAUUCCUUUUCAGAGAUCCAUCGAAUUUUCCUUUCAUUCAACCGGGAUUUCUUCUCCUUUUAUCAAAUUUAUCAAUGUUUCAUAAAUUUUCAUACAAUGAACAUUCAAAUCAUAUUCACAUAAAUAACAUACAAUCUCAAGCAUUUAAGAAUAUAAUUCAAGUUACACGAACUUACCUCAUUGCUUGUUUGUGUUUAUAAUUUCAUUAAUAUGAUAUCUUUUCUUUUCUAUGAUCAAGUCUCAUAUUUGAGUCGUCCGGAUCUUUAUAAAUAAAUUUGAUCAUCAUUUUCAUUCAUUUCAUAUUCUAAUGCAUUUAGUUAAUGCUCUAGGCAAAAUUACCAUUUUGCCCCUAAACUUUUAAUUAAUGAUGAUUUCAUUCUUAGGGUCAGGAAAAUAAAAUUCUUGCAAUUUAAUCCUUAUUUCCAGCUAUUAUUCUCAUAUAUAUUGAUAACAAUCCAUGAAUUCUAUAAAAUAUCAGAAUUUUUCAUAAUUUCAACACUUUUCAAUUUAAUCCCUAAAACAUGUUUUCCCCUGAUCUUGAACUAAAUUAAUAAUUUCAUUCAAUUUUGUAAUUUAAAUAAUAAAAUAAUCCAUUUCAUGUAAUUUGGUCAUUUCUGACAUGUUUACAAAGUUGCUCAUAAAGUUUUACUUUUAUUCAAUUUAGUCCCUGAGCCUAAAAUAUGCAAAUUAGCCAUGCUAGAUGAAUAUUCAUACAUAAUUUUCCUCCUCCUCCUCUCCAUUCCACAUCCUUAAUGUAGAUAACACACUUGUAAGUAACAUUAUCCAUAAUUUUUAUUAUUUACUUUUAUGAAUAUUCAAGCUGUCUAUCUGCAUCAUAGUCACUAAAUUAUUUAUAUCUGGAUCUAUAGAACUCCAAAUUAAUAUCCGAUAAUUUUCCCUGAAUCUAGGCUCAUAUAUAUUCUUACCAUAAAAAUUUCAGAAUUUUUGGUUUAUCCAAUAAGUACAGUUUAUUCUUUAAAGUUACCCCUGUUCUGCUGUCUGACAGUUCUGACCCCUCUUCACCAAAAAUUAAUUAUCUCCUCAUACAGGAUUCAAAUGAUGUUCUUGUUUGUUUCUAUUAAAAAUAUACUCAUUCAGGAUUUUAUAAAUAUAAAUUUAAUCCCCGAAUUAUUUUUAUUCAAUUUUUUAUGAUUUUUAAAAGUCAGAACAGGGGAACCCGAAUUCAUUCUGACCUUGUCUCACAAAAUUCAUUAUAUCUCAAAAUUUACAAAUCCAUUGCUUACACUAUUUCUUACAUGAGAAACUAUACUCAAUAAUAUUUAAUUCCAUAUUUUGUUCAUCUUCUAAUUCGAUUUCUACAAUUUAUGGUGAUUUGUCAAAGUUAGUCUACUGCUGCUGUCCAAACUGUUUUUGUGCAAGCUAUUAAUUACCAUGUUAUAACACCAUUAUUUUCUUUUUCUACACCAUUUCUCAUCACUUUCUCUUAUUUUCUCUUCACUAACAUAUCAAAAACAUAGGACCUUAUGUAAGAAAACUCUACUAUAACAUUAUUUCCAUGCUUUGUCAAUAAUAACAAACUUAAAAACAUAUUGAAAUCUUGAUAUACUUAUCUUGUUCUAUUGAUACUAAUCUUUAACUUGAUUUUAGCUUCUAUUUCUUGAAUCCAACUUGAUAUUCUAACUCCCCAUGCUCUCCUUAACAUUUUUGUCUCUUGGUAGCUAUGGAAAUUCAUUUGAUUUUUGGGUGAAAAUGGUGAAUUUUUGGUAAAAAGACCAAAUUGUAAAGAAAGCAAAACUUUCUUUCUUCCUCUCUUUCUCUCACGUUAGUGCAUGGGAAAAUAUGGAUGAGAAUUUUUCAUCUUUCUUUCUUUAUAUACUAAUAAAAUAAUAAUAAAAUAUCUUAUUAAAGUAUUAAUAAAAUAAUAUUUAUCUAAUUAAAUAAUUAUAAAAUAUCAAAAUAUCUCUAGCAUCAUUAUUACUUUUUAGAUUUCUCUCUCUUCCAAUUGACCAUUUUUCCCUUCAUUAUCUUUUAAAAUUCCAUCCUUGAGUCAUCAUUUAAUUUGGUAAAAUUGUAAUUUAGUCCCUCAUAGUUCUUCAUCUAUUCAAUUUGGUACUAAUUCAUCCAUUUUCCUUAGUUUCUAGAUCAUUCCACUCUUAAAUUAUUUACACUAUUGGUCCUUCAACUUUUUCAUAUUUACACUUUAACCCCUCAAAUUAUGAAUAUUUACUCUUGUGCAACAAAACUUUUCUCACUUUUACAAUUUAGUCCUUUCUUGAAUUAAUAUAUCAUAAUAUACUUCUCAAUAUUGACAUAACUCAAAAUUUCCCUUUUUGUCAGUUUAUUUCCUUAUUUUACUAUAUCCAGGAUAAUAUCUUACUGUAAAAAUUUUCAGGGUAUUACAUUUGGCUUCGAUUAUUAUUUUUUUGGGCCGAGGCCAAAAUUGGCCUAUUACACUAAACAAUAUCAUUUCCAAUAAAUACCUUACAUGUGUGCUCUAGUAAAAAAGAUAGGAACUUAAUUGGGACAAAAGAAAAAUUAAGGUACCAAAUUGAACAUUGAAGCCAAACUCAGGUAGUUGUAUGAGAUAAAGAAAAGCUCAAGCAUCAAUUUGAAAAAGAUAAAGUACCAAAUUGGACAUUAAAGCCUAAGUCAGGUACCAAAUUGGGACAAAAAACUUAGGCAUCAAAUUGAACAUUCAAGCCAAAUAUAAGAAUCAUGUAGUAUAUUAACCCUAUAAUUUUCAUCUUUUUUAUUUGUUUACUAUAAUUGGUGAUUUCACUAUGUUAUGUUACAUCAAUAAAUAUUGGGUGUAAUAUAAGAUAUAUUACAUUCUAAAGAACAAAUACAAGUUUAAAUUUUGGAAACGAAAUUAUUGGAAGAGGAAUCAAGAAUCUCGAACACUGACUAUACAAGAGACAUUAAAUUAAUGAGGUUAAUAGAUUUUUAUAUUUUUUGUAGGAGUCUAAAUGUAAUUUGUAUGCUAAAAUUGGGGUUAAUUUGUCUUUGAUUCUAUUUAAUAAAAAACUGAUUUGGUUUAGAAAAAAAUUCUAUUAUGCUUAUCAAUCAUUUGUCUUGUGAAUGCAUUUUAUCUAUUUAGUUUAUAUUAGUGAAAUCAAAGGAGCAAAAAGAGGACGAUAGAAGGCCUUUAGAAGAAUCAAAUUUCACUCAUGGCGAACAAAUUGAUUUAGGUAAAGUGAUGAAGAUUACAAAUUAAUGACUUUACAAAUACUUAAAUUAGCAACAAAAAAGAAGAAGAAAACCAAUUAUUCUAUCAUGAAACUAGUAUAAAGAAACCAUAAAAUUUUAAAAUUCUCAACUAUUUAACAAUAUUGAAGAGGGAAAACAAAAGUGUGAAUUGGUUUAUUAGUAUUACAUUUGAAACUUUGUAAUCACAAAGUACAUUAUAUCUACUACAAUUGUAAUACAUGCGAUCCAUGUUACCAAGUAUAUCAUGCACUUCUUUUGCAAUGAAGUAGUGGCAAAGAUGAUAUGGGCUAAAAUAUUGAAGGAUUGGACAAAUCCGAUGUGUAUAAAUGAAAACAAAGUGACCAAAAAAGAAAUGGAAACCAAGUACAAGGAACAAAGGCUUUUUUUUCUCUCGAGUGGGCGGGGGAGGAUUUCUAUUUUGAGACAAAGAAAUUAGGUUGUCUCCAUCGAUAAAAUCUCUAGUUCAGCCCACCAUGUGGGGGAAAGCCUUGGCGUAGCAUGCUCAGGUGGGAUGUUAAUUCCUUGCCUCAAUUUGGAAGUGAUACCUUUCAUUGUUGGUCUUUUUGCCUUGCAUCUAUUUGGAUGCAUUCAUUUAUAACAUCACAGAUCACCUCAAGCUCGUCAUCUUUGAGAGAUUCAAGGGUUGGAUCAAUCAUGUUGCUGAUGCUCACUUUUAUCAUUUAAACAUUCAUCGGCCUGCCAAGUUCAUUAGUACAAGUUUACCAAACACCCUAAACAUAGCCAUUUCUCGAUAGCACCAUGCUCUGCUGAGUAGGGAAGCUUUCCAGAAAUGAUUUCGAUUAGUAAUAUUCCAUAACUGUGGACAUUCACUUCCGGAUCAACAAUAGGUGGCAACUCAGAAUUUUGUGAUUCACCAUUACCCGAGGAUUUCAACUUAGAGAUACCCUCUAAGCUAGCUAUCAAUUUCUCCAACCAGUGUAAGUAAAAGAGGAAUAAAACAAAUGGCGUGUUUUGUGAUUAUAAGAACCUUUGCAGCAUAAUCGUCUGUUAGAAAGAUAGCUUUUGAACUUAAGUUUGAAUGAGAUGAGGGAGGAUUUAGAUCAUGGUGCGUAUAUUGGAGGCAAUAAGCUACACCCAUAAUGACCCUUACCCUUGCACUCCAAUCAAGAUGCUCCAUUUCUUUAACUGAAAACAAAGACAAAUGUUUAAGCUCUCAAAGAAUCAAGGUUGAGUAAAAUGUUUACCGCGUGUAAAUUAUAAUAUUACCAUGCAGAUGUUCAAAAAGGGUUCCAUUCGGAGCAUGUUCAAAAACUAUCAUCCUGCUGAAAGGGUUCAUUCUCCUCACAAUAGCCAAUAAGGUUGACAAAGUUCUUAUUGUUCAAUCGUGACAAUGCAUCGAUCACACUGCUUGCCAUCGUGUAUAUAUAUAUAUUAUAACAAUAUAAAAUUAAAAAAACAAUUUUUUGUGGGGUCUUAUAAUCUAUCAUUCCUCACUAUAUUAUAUUAUUUUAUCAUGUAUAAUCAUUUAUCAUAUUUUUAAUAAAAUUAAUUAAAGAUGAUAUCUUUAUUCAUAUAUACUAUCAAAUUUGAAAUAAACAAAUUUCUUGUACUCAUAAUUAAAAAAUAAUAAAUUAUAUUUUUGAAUAAAAUAAUUUUUGCUUCAAAGUUCCAAGAUUCCUUACUUUUUAAUUUUUUUUAAAAAAUUAUUAAUUAUAUUUGACACCAACUACAAUAGAAAUUAAAGUACUGUACUGUCUUAUAUAAUAAAAAUAUUAAAUUGUCUUAUAUAAUAAAAAUAUUAAAUUAUAUUUGAUAUAAAAAUUGAUCAUGAGAAUAAAAAAUUUUAGGUUAUUAAAAAUUUGCAAGUCUAAGAAUUUAAAUAUAUCUUUGAUUGAGUCAUAGCUUAAUUGGCAUCGACAUUGUUGUCAGUAUAGAAGAACGUAAGUUCGAGCACGUUGAAACACAUUUAUCUUCCUAUUUAAGAGUUAAUGAGAGAUUCUGAGUACUUCCCGUCAUUGUAUAAAAAAAUAAUUUAAAUAUAUUAAAUAUUAUUGUAGUAAAUUUGAUUUGAAUAUAAGUACUAUUUUUAAUAUACCAACAAAUUUAAAAAAAAGAAAGAAAGAAUUUGUACAGGUAGCUUAAAUAUAUGUGAGAUUACUAUAUUAAAUUUAAUUUAAAUGUUUUAAUUUUUUAAAAAUAAUAUUAUGUUGAAAAAUGAAAAUAUGAUGUUGUCUAAAUAAUAUUUAGUAAUUAUAAUAAUGCGGGAAUAAUAUUUUUAAUAUGGCAAGAGUUUUAUAUAAAAAAGAUUUUAUAUGACAAUAAUCCCUACUCUAUUUUGUUUAAAUUAAUUAUUGUCACAUGUCAUGUGUAACACCCUUAUACCAUGUUCGACUCAAGGAACCUAAUAUAGGAAGACUAUAUUUGGUGCUAAAAUAAUUCUUGGCUAAUCACUAAUAUAUUAGAACAUAAAAACGGACACUUGGAACAUACUUAAUAUUUUUCCUAAGUACAUGCCAUUCUAUUCAAAAUUUUUAAAACAUACCCUGUUGUUGCUUGAAGAUGUGAUGAGAUGAAAGCUUGCAAUCUCAAAAUUCAACUCUUCAAAAAUUCCUGUACCUAAUCUGUGCACAGAAACAAACUGUACGUUGAGUAUACACCCAAUGGUAUUACUAUAAUUCAAAUACUUAAGGUAAAACAAUAUAUAUAUACAUUAAAUCUUACCACUAUUUUACCUUUAAUAAAUCUUUCAUGCAUUUAAACUUUAAUUUUAAUUUAAUAAUAUGUAUUUUAAAUAGCUUUUCUUCAUUUUAAUUUAUAUAUCUUCUUACUACAUCAAUAUCCAUUUCAUGCAUUUCAUCAAUAACCAUUUCAUAAAUCAUUAUUUCAUAAAUUUCAUUUCUAUAUCUCAAUUCAAUAACUUAUUCUCAAGAAAAUAUUCAUUUCUAUUCAUAAUCAAUCAAUAACAAUCAGUUGUUCAGUACUUUAAUAUAACCAUUCAAUAAUCAUCAGUUAUUCAGUAACAUUAGUCUUUUAAUAAUUAUUUAAACAAACAAUUUUCAAUAAAAAUAAUUAUAAUUAAUUCAUAUGAUUAUAUUCAAACUAACUCAUACACUAUUUCAUUAUUUCCUAUUCAUUCUAUUUUCACUUCUUAUUUCGAUAUCUCAAUUUCAAUUCAUAUUUCAAUUCAUAAUUUCACUUUCUCAUACUUUUAAUAGUUCAAUAAAUCAAAUUCAUUCGAUUUUCUCAUUUCAUUUAUUCAACUGAUUUCAAUAUCGAUAAUUUGAUAUUUAACAAUUUUAUGAACCUUAAGUUCAUGUUUCAAAUCUCAUGUCUCAAUUCAAUUCACAAUUCAACUCAUAAUUUCUUUCUUAUAUUUUAAUAGUAUGAUUAAUCAAAUUUAUUUAAUUUUCUCAUUUCAGUUAUUCACCCUAUUAACAAAUCCUGAUCUUGGCGAAUACACGGAUCCAACUAACACACCAGUACGACACUCAGUGCCUCAUCAACUUUGCCGAAGUAAGCAGUAACAGUACAUUACUUAAUACCUCAUCGGAUUAAACCGAAGUAACAGUAACAGUACGACACACAAGGUGCCUCAUCGACUUAAAGUUGAAGUAACAGUACGACAUUUAUAGUGCCUCAUCGACUCAAGGUCGAAGUAUCCCUGAAUACUUCCAAUCCUAUGGCAUGCCAACUAUAUCCGACUCAGCCCAACUAGUUAAUAGGGUGUUCAAAUCAUUUUUCCAUUUCAAAUUCACUUUCAAUUCAAUCACAAUUCAAUUCAAAUUCACCUUUUCACUUUCUAAUCAAUAUACAAUUCAAUACCAAUACAUAUUUUAGAUAAACACAUAUAAUCAUACUUUGAUUCAAUUCAAUCCACUUUUCAAUCAAUACACAAUUCACAUAUUCACCAUAUUCAUAAUUUAAUUUACAUUUAUUCAAUUCAUAUUUUCGAUUCAUUUUCCAAUCAAGUUCAAAUCACUAAUCACUUUUCAAUUAAUAUACAUUUCAAAUAAUCACACAUUUUCUUCAUUCAAUUCAUUUUGAUCCAAUUCAAAUCACUUUUAAUUUCCAAUUUGUUCACAUUUAAUUUCAAUGGCCAUAAAUACUUUUAAAUCAAUUUCAUUCAAAUUAAUAUCAUUAUUUCAAUUAAUUUCCUAAAUUUAUCUACCAUGCAUUUUAAUUAAAAUAUAACAAUUAAUAAUAAAUAGAUUUGAAUUAUAGUAAUACAAACUCGGAUUUAUUCGAUUACUCCUCGAUAACUUUUUCCUUUCCUUUCGAUGCCGAUGCCUCGGGUUCCUUGUUAGCUAUGAAAAUUAAAUUAUUAUACCAUUAAUUACAGCACUAAUUAUAACAAAUAAUUGAAUUUUUAUUUAAUUUACACCUUAUUUUCAAUUAGGUCCUAAUUAACUCAUUCACUUUACUAACUUAAUUCUCACUUCAUUCUUAUUCAAAUUCCUAUCAAAUUCAAUCUAACUAUCAAGUAUUCAUAAUAAAACCCUAAUUUAAUUUUUUUUCAAUUUAAUCCCUCAAUCACAAAACUUAUAGCUUCUUUUACAAUUUAAUCCCUUCAUCAUUUCUAACUUGAAAUUCAUUCAAUUAAACCCCCUAAUUCAUAUUUUUGUUCAACAUGAACUAUAUUUGAAAACCUAUGAAAUUCCAAAAUAUUAACUUAAUUUCAUUAAAACCUUGUUUUAAAACUUUAAAAAUAUCAAAAUUAAGUAAAAAAGGACUUAAUUGACUUACCUUGUAAAGCUUAAAGCUUCAAAUCCCUAGUUUUUCCUUUUUCUUUUCUUUCUUUCUUUCCUUUCCCCGUUUCGAAUGCUCUCUGUUCUUUCUCCUUUCUUUUUCUUUUUUCUUUUUUAUUCUUUUAUAUAUAUAUACUUUAUUUUAUUUAUUUACUUAACAUAUAUUAUAAUAUAUUUAUUCUAAAUAUCCAUUAAGUAUUUAAUCAUAUAUAUACAAAUGGACACCAUCAAUACCAUACAAUUGUCAUCAUUUAUUUUAUAUUUCACACAAAAAUCUUAUAAUUUAAUUAUUUAAUUAACAAUAAUAUAAUUUAAUCUAAUUAUCUAUUUGUUUAAUAUUAAGUAAAUAAAUUAUUUUAUAACAAGUGUACAUAUAUCUAUUUAUUACAAAUGUACCAAUAUUUUUAUUACAAUUGUCAUUAUUCAAUUUAUUUAUUAUACAAAAUCUCAUAAUUUAAUUAUUUAUUUAAUAAAUAUCUUAUGCUUAAUUAUUAAGCAAAUUAAAUCUAUAAUUUACAAUUGUACGCUUCAUUUUAAUUUAUUUAAAAUAAUAAUAAUAAUAAUAAUAAUACUUGCCGCCUCAACCAUUAAGAAUGGUUUAUUUGCCAUUGUGGUCCCCCUUUCUUUUCAUUUAUCUAUAAUUAAACUUUUACCCUUAAUUCAAUUUAAUUCUUUUUCCUAAUUACCCUAAAUUAAGCUAAAUUCACCUAAUUAAAACAUAAUUAGGUACACUACUAGACUCAUAAAUAUUCCUAAUAAUUAUUUACUAAUUCGAUUUACUAAGACGGAGGCCCGAUAACUUACUUUUCUGAUGUCCGUGAAUUUUGAGUCAUUACAUCAUGUUUUAUAUAUACUGUAAACCAUCGUAUUUUACACUUUUAAUUUUUACGAUUACAAUGAAAUCAUCAUAUUUUUCAUUCAAAAUAACAAUUAUUGAAGAAAAAAAUUAGUCAAACCCUUUAAAUCAAUUUAGUUAAUUAUUUUCCAUCUUUAAAUACAGUUUUUCCUAACGCAAAAAAGAGACUAAAUUAAUUUCCAUAAACCUUUAAAUUCAAAGUACCUUUUUCCCUUCCUUUUAAGUAUGAAAAUAAUUACAUAUCCAAAUUUAAAAAAGAAAAAGAAAAAGAAGUUACAACAUCACAACAUAUGAAUUAAAACUAUUAAAAAUACGAAAUUUAAUGCUUAAUCGGGACAGAAAAAUAUGUUAUUGAAGAUUAAAAAAAAUUAUAAUUGGCAACAUAUAAUGUAAAAAGCAUAAUUAGGUAAUACAUACCAAAUUUAAUUUUUAUUUGAUAAUUAAUUAUAAUUAAUACAAGAUCUAUAAUUAAUUAUAGUUUUUAUUUUUAUUUUGUUAGAUAUCAUCUUAUAUAAAGUUCUUAGUUGUUGUUGAGAUAAUAAAAUAAAGUGUUGAGUUACUAAAAUUCUCGGUGAUAUGAUAACUUUCAAUUUCGAAACUCUCUUUUUCUAUACUUGUAAUUAUAUGUAGCACACUAAUUCCUACUAUCUUAUUACUUUAUUUUACAGUACCCACGAGUGAAAUUUAGAUGGAGUAGAAAAUACACACCAGCAAGUAUUAGAUUUCUUUUACAAAUUUUCCUUUGCAUGGAAUACCACCUCUUUUUUUUUUAAUAAGUUUUAUUAGAUUUUGGUUUAAUUUUUGGAAUGAUCUUGAAAUUGAAAAAAAGAAGAGAGAACUUGAUAUUGAUUGAAGACAUUACUGGUCAAAGAUGAUGUCGUGCAAAAUAAUUCACGACAACAGUUGUUUUUUUUUUUUUGAGAGAUGAAGAGUUUUAGAUAAAACAAAUUUUUUUUAAAGAAAAUAAAAAAGGUUUUAAGGGUUUUUUUUAUAUAUUUUAUAUAAUUUUUUUGUAAUUUUUUCAUUUUGAAAGGUUUUAAGGUUUUUUUUUUUUUUUAUGAUGAUGCCACACAUGACAGCAUAUAAUUGUUUGGAUAAACUUUUUUUGUAUGUAUCAUAAAGGCAUUGCCUGUACUCUUACUAUCUGUGUUGUCUAUUCUUCUACAGCUUUGUAUGUGAGCCAGUGCCCUCCAUUGCCCUCCAUUUAGCAUAAUGGUUUCAAUAUGAAUCUAAGAUUGGAGGACCAUGGAUUGAGUGAUUGAUUAUUGAAAACCCCAUCAUCUUGCUCUGGUUUUGUCGUGUGAUAUUUCUGCGGCAAGGUACACCACAACUUCUAUGAUCGUAAAUUUUUUAGCACCGAUGAUCUUUUGUGAAGCUCCUCAUUGUGUAAAAAACAUACUGCUGUUCCAUGCUAAAGGUAUUGUGAUGUACUGAAAAGCUUAUUAAUCUAUGGAAGUUCCUUUAUAGACUAAAAAAAAAAAAGUAAACAAAACCUUAAUUUCUCUCCGAGCUUCCUUCUCUUGAGCUCUCUCUUCGACCUUUGCUUAUUCACAAUUAAUUUAGUUUAAGCGCCCCUCCCCACAAUUAAUUGUUAUAUAAUUAUACUGUAGAGUCAAAGCUUUUGAAAUUGAUACUCACCAGAAUUUGGCAUGGCAUCUAUUAAUGUGAAUUUAUGUUGGGUGUUAGAUAAAACAAGCUUAAAAGUCAUGUUGGUAUUGACAAGAAGAGCAAUCACCUCAACUGCCCCUGCAACUUUCUUACAUUUCUGACAGAGAUUCAACUACUUUCUGGUUAUCCCUACAACUUAGCGCACGGAUGAUGGAUUGUUUCAGUGAUUUGCAUUGUCCAUUGGACCUUUUUUGUCGCUCUCAUAAUUAAUAAAUAGGUGGGAAUUGACUCACUGGUUCCAAGCGCUUGUUGGGUUAGUUUGCUUAUUGAAAGGGCCUUUUUUGAAGCUGCAAAAACUCUGCAACUAUUCUGUGCAUUUUCAGAAGAAGAAAAUGUUAUUGAUGGUGCAUAAUUGCUUGCAUAUGGAGCUUUACUCUCAACAGAUAGCUUAUUAAAUAUUUAUACCUGAAUUAGAUUUACCUACAUCAGUUGGCUGAAAGUACAAUCACUACAAGUUAAAACUUUAACGUAUUAGAAAAAAGUAUACAAUAGACAAAACUGAAGCUUAUACCGAUACUUCAUAAUUUCGAAGAAUGCUGCUUUACUAUUAACAUUUAUCGUCUGUUUCUACUUCAAUUUUCUUGAGCUGCCAAAAUUUAAAAUAUGAAAUAUUAAUUCUCAACCACUAUAUUAUAUAUAUGUACUUAAAUUUUUAAAAAGACUUUUAAUUCUCCAUUGACCUUUUUAGUUGUACCAUUUUAUUUAAUCUAUCCAUAUGGUUGCAUAUGAGUCUGUCAUUGUUCUCCCGAAAACCUUGAAUUUUGCAAGAAAAAAAUGGGAGGUUGUUUUAAGUAGUAAUGUUUAUCGUAUUCAUGAAAAUUAUAAACUUCAUUUAAAGAAGAGAAAUUGUUUUCCUAUUUCCUUAAAGAAAUAUAACUUUUUUAUCUGUGAAAUUUUACAGCAAACCUUGUUAAAGAUAGUGAAAUGACAGACAUCCUUGUCCACUCUUUGAUGUGCUCAAUUCAACUCCUUACUCUAGGGAGACAGAGAGGCGCCACUGCUCUUAUCUUGGGAGGAUCCCUUCGGAGAAUUCUGGAAGGUACCUUUUUUUUUUUUUGGUGUUGUUAUUAAAUAAGCCCUUUUUCUUUCUUCUCCUAAACCAAAAGGAGUUGAUGAAUUGUCCGGUGUGUGUUAAUUAAUAGGUGUCAAGUGGCAUGGUUAGAAUAGAUUAAACCCCCUGAAUACUCAGUGGUCCGCGGGGGUGGACAGCAUAGGGAGGCCAGGCCACGCCCCAUCAUUAGACAAUAAGGGGAGGACCACUCCCAUAUUACCAUUGGUCAGGUUUGGGUCAACAAAUGAAGAGCAAUUUUCUCUCAUAAUUGGAUUGAUUUUAGCUGUCGAUUUUGUUGGCGAUACAGGAGGAAUUCCACUGUACUUAAUGGUGAUGAAUGUGGAUAGAAGAACAUGUUCGGAGGUGUUGGUCGAGAAUUUAUUGCUAAACGACGCAUACUAUUAUAUAUUUUCAUUACCAAAACUUUCUUAUAGCUUUACUUUCCGGUUGGUAUUCGUACUUUAUUAUUAUUUUUUUUUUUGUGAGUUGGGUGAUCCCCACGAGCUGGAAACCCAAUAGAGCGCUGGAGGUGAAUUCGAAUUCCUUAUGAACCGUCCCACGUCGUAUAUAAUGCAACCAUAUGUUAGGUUCGCACUUUUCACAUCAGUUGAUGUUAAAUGCCUCAAAUUAUUUCCCAAAUCAAAGCACCGGCCCUUUCGAUAAGGCUGUAGCCAAACCACAUGAUACACGUGUAUGAUAUAGGUUUGUACAUUGAAAAUCAUGAGCGGUAAUCAUUGAAACCCGCCGAAACCAAUCUCUAUUUUUACUUGAUCGUACAAUGUGCAAUAACAGUCGGAAAAUAAAAUUAAUACCUGGCUGCCACUGGCAGGAGUUGAAGAUGAUAUAAGUUUCAUGAAAUGAAGUAAAGAAUUUAGGUUCUUAAAACAGUGAAAAACGUUCAAGUAUCAUGUAGCUCAACCUACCAGUACUGUUGCUACUGUUUGUAGUAAUAGACACUGGGCGAGUGAACAGCAGAAUGGCAAGGCUCUCUCAUAAUUUCAGAGUUUCUCUAAAUGUGUAUCUACGUGGCCUCUGCCCUCUGCUUUUGUGUACCAAAUUCCGUGAAUAUUUCUGAGCGAUCAACCAGGACAGGACAUUAUUUUUAUAUACAAUGAAUUAAUUUUUUGGCUGUCUCCCAUGAUCAAUCAAGUAACUAAUUUGAAAGUCAAAACGAAUGCCAAGAAUAGGUGUCAACUUAGAAUACCAUAUAUGUAUACUAUAUAGUCUGUUUUUUUUUUUUUUGUUUCCAAAUAUAUGAAUCUGUGUUUAAUUUGCCCCAAGUGCAAACCUAGUAAUCUCCCUGGGCACAUGAUGAAAUCAAAUCAAUUGAAAGUGCCCUGUAAUUUGUCUAUUACUAGUACGCUUUUCUACAAAAAGUGGAAAUCUGGGAUGAUAAUGAAGCAGCAAAAAGCGUAAGAAAAAGGAGAUUCCAUUUUUUAACAAAAUUAUGUAUACAUAUAUAUCCAGUAUAAAGUGUCAACGUGAAAAGGUCUCCCCACCUUAUUGUAUAGUAACUAAGCAGCAGACAGGAGAAUAAGAAGAGUUGUUUCCAUUUCAUGUCAGCAACUUUUUCUCCAUAAUUGAUUUGAAAAAAAGUUUCCAAUGAUGGAUAUAUUAAUAUAAAGUAAUCAAAGUUGAAAUUUUAAUUCAAUCAUAAGAUAUAUGUAGACAGAAAUAUUAAUGUUUAUCAGCCUGCAAUGAGUAGUAGUCUAUUUUCAUUGGUCCCUAAUAUAUAAUUGAGAAUAGAUUUAGGUUAGAUGUUAACCAACUUCCAAUUCUACAAAUUAUAGUAUUAAGUAAUUGCAAGAAAAACCACUGAAGCCUCCUACAUCAACCGUUAAUUACUUGUGUUAUUUCUCUUCUGGCUACAUUUCAACUGCUUGUUUUUGCAUCAACAUUUAAAUUAAAUAGCCUCCAAGGGAACUUCAAAUUUGACAAGUAGCUAUAUAAUGAACGAUGAGUAGUGUAAAUUCAACCUAAAAAAGUUAAAAUAAGGUGACGCAGUCUUUUCUAGGAUAAAUAAGGUUUGGCUAAACCACCUCUUCUUCUUUAUUUUCUCGCAUCAAAGGUUUAUAUAGUAAUAUGGUGAUACUGGUGAGGUUCAUAAAUGAGUAAUUUAAAAAAGGUUAAACUAUUUCCACCAUAGAGUCUAACAGUAACUAUUUAAGCUAUUAAGUAGUAGAUGGGAUAGUUCCUUUUAAAUAUUAUGUGUAUGAAAUGACUUUUCUAAUCACAGCCACUCAAGUCUAAAUUGUUGCAACUACUGACCCAUUUAUAAAUAUUAUUACUCUUUUGUCAUGAAUGAUUGUUUCCUAACUCUUCACAAAGGACACAACUGCUUUGAUUGUACGCACUUUAUCGCCCAAAAAAAAAAAACAUGUCAAAAUGGUUCUCUUUUGAUAUAUCUUAAAUUAUGGGUUAAUCAAUUUUAUAUUUUGGAGUCGGUUCAUGUGUUCCAUAUAAGAAACAGAAUAGAGUAUUGGAUACUAAAGUUGAUUUAUGGAUUUUUCAGCAUGAAAUGAUCAAAGCAAAGACAAAAGUAUUACUUGUUCGAAAUUAAGAUUCGCAUGGGUUUGAACAAAUAAAAAACAAAAUGCAUGUCAACUCCCCCACAAGAAGCUCCAAUGUCUGAUAAACCUAUUAUUUUAAUGUUUAACUUUGGGAAUAGUAAAGAUGAACAUGUCGCAGCUACUUUUUGGAUGUGAUUUAGGUAAGCUUAUAUUUCUCUUUUUUUUUUUAAAUUUACCCAUAGACGGAGAAGACAAAUCAGUCCAAUUUCUAAAGUAGUUCCCUUUGGGAAAAAUAAUAAUAAAUAUACAGCUACUUUUGUUAAUGCGCUUCAACUUUAACUACCACCUGUCUAUUAAUUUCAGUGAAUAUGGAAUUUCUAUAACAUCAAUUAUAUGAUUAUUUUGACCACUUAAUUAGUGAAUAUAUCACUCUUUUCUAAAGUUAAUUGUAUAAAAUCAAAUCAACAAAACCACUUAAUUAUGUACAUUUUUGUGUCAGUGGAGCAAACUGGUUAUCUAUAUAAUGUUUAUUUGUUUAUCUACCCAACCAAAUAUUUCUGUUUUUUUUUUUGGAGGAUAAAAUUAAUGGGCCGGGAUAUUUUUCUUUUUGUAUUUUGGUGUGUAUGGGAAGUCUAAAGCUAAAAUUAAUUUAUGACCAGACCAUGCCCUAAGCCCUAACACUAAUUUUCAUUUGUAACUUAUUAUAAGAAUUCAAAACACAUUCAUUUCACCCACUUUUUUCCUCUCUUUCCCGAUGAGGUCAAGAAGAUUCAAGAUCUAAAAUACUCUUCAUAACUCUGCUGCUUGCAAAUCGAGAAAACUCAAAUGUUUGGAAAAUGAUUGAGAGCAACUUGUUUGAAUACAAGAGACGAGACCUACCAAAAUUGACCAAGUUUUGCAGCACUUGCUCGCCGUUUGCGACCCCACAAUAAUUCUAGUGCUGGAAAGACAACCAGAAAAUUUUUUGUUUUUGUUUUUCCUCCUAUAUGAAAAACCAAUGAACUAUAUAUAUAUUGUCAAAGUCCUAGAAACAUAUAUUUGCACUGAAAAUUAGAGAUGUGUGAGUGUGUGACUUUAACACAAUCCGAACAUGGGGACAAGACAAAGGUGCUAUUAUGAUUCAAGAAGAAUUAAGAAACCAAAAUAAUAAUAAAAGUCUUGUUUAGGUAGGAAGAAAUUGAUGGGUUGCUGAAGAAAUGGCCCCACAUUUUCCUACAAAAGAAAAACCCAUAUUUUAUUAUCUCUAAUCAUAAUAUUAGUAAGGAGGGCAUACAUCUUAUUAACAAAUGAAAGGUCAAAAAAUUAGUUUAAUCACCAAAAAGAAAGUGUUAUUAGGUUUUGUUUCUGCAGCAAGACACCUGUCAAAGAAGACUUCAUUACUAAUAGAAAUAAGAAAAGAAAGAAAGGUGGAAUAGUCACAUGAUAUAUGCAACAGUUCCAUCUGUAUCCAUAAUGUGAUGAAAGCCUAUGAUUUUGCGUUAUAAAGAUAACAUGUGAUGGUUCAAUAAUUUCUUCUUCUUUUUUUAAAAAAAAAAAACCAAUAUUGUUUGCUUUGGUCCAGACCAUGAAGAUGAAGAUCUUAUAGUAAUAUAAUAAUAUAUAUAAUUUAUUGACUUAAAUUUCACGGUUCAAUGAAAACCUAGAUACAUAAAUCCUCAGACCAAGUUGAAAAACCUUUCCCCUGAAGCUUCUUUUUCUUCUUUCUCUCUCUUGAUCAUUUGUUUAAAAGACCACCAAUUAUAUAUAUAUAUACACAUCGAUUCUCUCAAGUUGAAGGGUAAUCUGAGGAUCGGCAACAUGGAAUGGAAGGAAUAUAGGCUUCAUCGUCAAUGGUUUGUAUCCCUUGAGGGAAAAAAAAACAAAGAUUUCUUUAUCUUAAAUUGAUUGUCUAUUUUCUUCUUCUUUGGCUCCUAUUUUCUAGUUUUUCUUAUGUUAAUUCAAAAUUUGAAAUCAUUUCCGGCUGAUUUGCGCUAUACUUUUCUGUGUGUUUGGUUUGAUGCUCUUUUUCUUCUCUUAUAAAUUUAAAAAAAAAAUGGUUUCCCCAAUGAUGAAACAUGUUUUAGUAGCAUCCUAGUCUUAGAGAUAAACUGUUUAUAUAUUUCCAGUUCUUCACAACUCAAUCAUUUCUGAUUGUUUUUUUUUUAUAAUCUAGGAAGGGGAAUGAAGUUGUUUGAGAUUAAACUCGAGCUCUUAUUCCUACAAGAUAAUGCUCUUACCCUUGGAUGUUACCCUAAAGAAGAAAAAGAAGAUUUUUGUAACUCUCUAAACAUCCAAUUUCACGGUUCAAUGAAACCUGAAUACAGAAUGCUCUCAAAACUAUUGAUUGAUUUGAUUCUGUUCUUACUGAGUCUUUCCUUAAAUUUACAUUAAUAAAGACCUAUAGUUCAUCAUGACUGAACCUGAAAAAGAAUGUUUUUUUAUUUUUAUUUUUUAAAUAAAGGACCAAUUUUAUCAGGAACAGGUAAAUGCUAGUAAAUUAGAUAGCUACUGCUUUACAUUGGAUUCCAUAAAUUUAUUUAUUUUCAUAUAAGGUAUGAAGUCAAGUAUUCAAGUGCAUCACUGUAAAGACAUUAACGAUCGUUGCAGAUGACAAACUUCCCAUUUUAUAUCUCUUCACCUUAUGUUUUCUUGUCUAGAUUUAUAGAAAAUAUUAGAUAUAAAUAAGUAUCUAAGAGUUUUUUUUUUUUGUGAAUCAUAUUUCGAAUAUAUAUGAUUUUUUUAAAUGCACCGAAUGUAUAUGAUUGAACACAUGCAUUGGAUAUUCAGAAAAAAAAAGAAAAGAAGAAAAUUGUAGAUUGAAUUUAGAAUUUAUUUUUCAUGAUUUACUUGUAUUUGGUAAGUUAGGGCAUAUAUCGGAAACCAAACUCCAGUCCUAUUGUUCUUACACGAAGGCAGAUUUAUGGAUUACACUCUCAACCUACUAAACGUUGGCAUCAUGUUUAUCAGUUUGUUGUCACAUUAUAGCUUCAAACUAAAUUAUUAUUAUUGACUUGGCUAUUCCAUUUUUUUUUCCAGAAAUUGGAUGUUUAGGGAGUUACAAAAAUAUUUAGGGUUGGCUUUCGCUGUGUCACUCGAUCAAGCUUUAGAUCAAGAGGUAGAAUAUUUCUUUCUUUCUUCAUUAGCAAUAUAUAUAUUUUACAAAGAGGGAAACAGGUAGAAUGUUUUAACCUGUUUAUAUUAAAUAUAGUAAAACCCCGCAUUCUUUAAAAGCCAGAAACCAUUAAUUUGAAAUUACUUUCAUUUACAAAGGUGGAUGAUGGUUUUCACCCACCAUCAAUGUUUCUGACAGUUUAAAAUGCUUAGCACUCUACAAUAAGUAUGUGCAGUUAAACCUAUCACCUAAAACAAUUGGCCUCACACUGACAUGACAUGCAUAGGAUCCAACAUGAGAUGCAGCUCCAACCCUUCUUAAACAAAUGUUUGAAAUGCUAGCUUAUUUCAUUUUGGUUCUAUAUUGUGUUUUUCUUAUCUUCGUUAAUAGGGUGUUCACCUUAAAAAAUCUUCAUACCAUUUUGGAAAACAUCGUGAACAGGAUCUCGUAAAAACUAUCAUAUUAGAUUCUUAGCAGUGCAUUAAUGUCGACAUAGUCUUGAUCAUUUUCAUUUAUUUGAAGUUAUUGCCCAAAUAAUGGCAAGGCAGGUAGGCAACCAUGUAAUGUAAGAAAUGGUCUUACAAUUUGCACCAAAUAUAUGCUUUUUAAUUACCUAUCACACCCAGUACCGGCUAAAAGGCUGGCAAGUAAUCAAAUCCCACACAUUCCUACUUCAGCUCCAUAUGGGAUGGGAAUUCAAUGUUGAGCUAUCAAUAAUAAUGUUCAUUGGGGCAUAAAAUGGUAGUAUAAAGAAAUUUUGUUUUCUUUCGGAAAUAAGGGGAAGCUUUCAUGGUAGUAUAAAUAUGUAUAUUUUUAAUCAACUACUUUUCGGGAAUAUUUAUGAUAGAAAUACUGACAUAUAAACAGAUUUGACAGAUAAGGGGCAGUAUAAGGUGGAUCAUUUGUUUUCUCUUUCCAUUUCUAUCAACUGAACUUGAGCAACGGCAGAAGACAUGAUGGAGAUGCAUGGAGAAGAAAAGAGGGUUAAUAGUGAAGUAUGUUCCCACAAGUGCACCAACUUUGACUUGAAUGAAGAAGCUAGCUGCCAAGAUAAUGAUUAUGUUGGAAAGGAAGGUGAAGUUAGCGUUGAAGAGGAAGAGAUUGAGAAGAGAUCAACUGAAGAAGGGAGUAGUAGCAAUAACAAUGGAGGCGAGGAAGGUGGCAUUAAUGAUAGAAGAAGAACAGUGAGGCAAUACGUUAGGUCAAAGUUGCCUCGCCUUCGGUGGACUCCUGAUCUUCAUCUCUCCUUCGUGCAUGCUGUCGAGAGGCUUGGUGGACAAGACAGUCAGUUCUUUCAAAUAUUGCAUCCUCUCCUUUCUUUAUUUCAUCUUUGAUAUGAGAAAUACAAAUGGAACUCUAAAUUCAUUCUUUGUUGCAGGAGCAACUCCCAAGUUAGUUCUUCAAUUGAUGAAUGUGAAGGGACUUAGCAUUGCCCAUGUAAAAAGCCAUUUGCAGGUACCAAAAAAAAAAACAUUAUUUUUUUUUAUUUUUAUUUUUUACAACUUUUCAGUCCACCAGUAAUUCUCAUUUUUAUCUCUCACUCUCUCUGCAUAUUCCUGUUUCAGAUGUACAGAAGUAAGAAGCUUGAUGAGAGUGGACAAGGUGAAUUUUCAUCUUUUAAUUAAACAUGCAUAAAAACAAUAUUACUAAACAAAGCUUGAAAACCAGUUGCUAAAACCAGUAAUGUUUAUCUAUAUUAUCAUUGGCACGAUUUUUUUCAAUCACUUUAACUUUAAAUCUUCAAAUUUUAAUUAAAUUAUUUUAUUUAGAAAAAAAAUUAAUUCAACUUUUAAAAUGUUAAUGACAUUAAUAUUGUAGCAGUAUGAGAUAAAUUUUUUUAAAAUUUUUUCAACUUUUUUAAAUUUUUUGAAAUAUACAUAAUUUUCGCACAAAUGGCCACAUUAAUAUCAUUAAAAAUUUAAUGGUUUAAUUAACUUUUUCAUUUAAAAAAAUUAACUAAAUCUUAAAUAUUAAAAGUCAAAGUGAAAAAAAAAACCAAAAUGUCAAAAAAAAAAUUAAAAAUAAAAAUAUUAUUUUUCAAAAAAAAAAUAAAAAAGAGCUUUGAAGUAUUUAUUUCAUUUUACUCUAUUUUUGCAGUAUUAAGUAAAAGUAAUCGAUCAAUAAAAGGAAGGGAUGAAAUUCGGCGCAUGUCGUUGCAGCGGGCAGCGGCCGUUUCCUCAAGUCCUCAUCAACAUUUAAGAAUGGAAAAUGGUGGAAUCGUCUUAGCCGCGGAAUCUCUUGAAAAUGACAUCACGCUAACUCGUUUCCGGUCUCCUCUUUACCAACGAUCACUAGAAUUCAAACCCGGCUUUCCAAGGUAACAUUGAAUGGAUUCAUACUUUGUGAAAAUUAUUAAUCUCAAACAUUUGUAUAAUGAUAAAAAUCUUUUAAAUAUAACUACAAGAUUCAAAAAUAAUAAUAUGAUAGAUGCGAAUUUAAAUUCAGUAAUAUGAAAAAGAAAAAUUUAACAUGUAAUUCUCUUAACUUCUGCUUAUAUACCACUUAUGACAUGCAUGUGGUUUUUUAUAGGCAUCACUUAGAACCAAAUUCCUUGAUAAGCAAAGCUGGUGGAGAAAAAAAUGGUUUCCCAAAGACAGGUGGCUUGUUGAGCAAUGAAGGGCAGUCAAACCAAAUUCAUGGAAUGGAAAUGCGAAUUGGAGGCAUGAGACGAGGGUGGGUUCUUGAAGAGAAGAGGUGGCAAAUGAUCUGUAACAGAUGGGAAGUUGAAAGAGAAAUGAGCAAACACACUUUCAUUGGGGGACACUACUCAACUAGCUCAACUCAAGGAAACAACACAAGUACUGUUGGCCAAUUUGUUUCGGAUAACCUUAGCAAAUUCACUAGUGAGUUUGACGCCCCCUUUUUGGUUGAGGUAAUAACCAUUUUUGGUUGGACAUUUUUUCUUUUUAAUAAUUUAAAAACAAAUUACAAAUGCUGGCCUAGCAUUUGAAAUGUUUUCUCAUAAUUAAUUUGCUUGAAAUGCAGUUGAACCAAGAUAAAGUGAUGGACAGAGAAUGGCUGCCUGAUCUGCAGUUAAGACUAAGCCAAAGAAUUGGAAUUGAGGAUAAGAAGAAUACCCAUUGUAAAGGCACCCACGAAAUCAACACCCGACUUUCACUUUCGUAGCUUUGAUAAAGGCUUCUCCACCACAAACACAAAAAAUAGGAAACUGACAUCUUACUAAGUACUUGUCCUAUAAUUGUCUUCUCUUUUUUGGAUAGAAAGUGUAAUUGUUUUUCAUUUUAAUUAUUUGUUGUCGAAUCAGAUAGAGACUCGACUUUAGGAAAUAGGAAGCGUUUGUGAUUGACAAUUAGAUGAGUGUGUGGGGCAUAUAUUUUCACCAACGAUAUCAUUCAUGCAUCGAGAGUCAUGCUGAUGCAUGCAUGUCGAAGCUAAUAAAUGAUCAGCUCAGCAAGCCCAACAACUAUACAAACUAGUUUUUCCAAGCCCAACAGGCCAAUUAAAUAAAUGGCUGCUUUGUUCGUACCACUCGAUGUGAGCAUAUUGGACCUAUGUCUCUUUCUCCAUCGUCGGAGCAGUUGCAUUAGAUGUCGGAACAUCAAAUUCACAAGGACAUAACAUCGAAUCGGUUAUAUAUUGGUAUCAGAAAUCGCAACUUUAGACAGGAACAUCACAUGAAUUAAUUACUAAUGUGAUCUGCUGUUGUGACAAAAGUUAAGCAGCUGCUGAAAUGGCAGAUCAAGAAAAUAACAUAUUAAUAUAUUUCAACCUUUUCUAGUCAAAUUCCUUAUGCUAUUCGAGAUCAAAUCGUGGACGUUACAAAGAUUUGGAUCGACUUUGAUUCACUGAUGGCUGAUGUAGGAAAACAGAAACGAACCACUUACAAACUUAUACAAUAACAAGGUCUAACAAAUUGAAGUUAAAAAAAAGAUCCUGGAGGAGAGAUGAAAACGAAAAUGGUAGGCUGCUGCAAAAUCUUAACCAGCUCUGACCAUGUUGAGUGCAAGUACUUGAAUGCAGCCCUCUUUAUUUUUAAGUUUUGGAUUGCUCAGAAAGGUGAGUUACUAAUUCCUAUAAAGGACAAUGAGUGUUAGUGUUUACGAAAUGAAACUCAUAUUUCUGAACACAAUAAUAUCCUUCUUAAAGAAUGUUGAUAUUACCUCAGAAUAGCGGAUGCAAGUAAGAAGUUUUGACAAUUGUUUCCCACUUGGUAUCAGUUGCAGGUAUCUUAGGUUCCUGUUUUUUGGGAUAAUUAAAACCAGUGCCAUUGUAAGACUUUGGAAAUGAAUUUCUUGAUGCAACUGCAGGCAGUGCACGCGAAAGCCAGGACUCCGAUGGUGCUUUCGGUAGAGGAACAGGAAGAGGAGUGUAAUCAGCAGAGCCACCCUUAGCUUCUCCUUGAUCAGCUUGACCUCUGAGAUUUGAUUUGUCGGAGAAAGAAGAGCGGCUGGAAUUCACUGGCCCUGUGAUUUCAUUUCCUGAUACGCCCUUUAUGUCCAAAAGGUUGGGGCCUUUUAUGUCUUGAAGACAAGAUUCUACACUAGCGGCUUCUUCCAGCAUUCUAUUCAUUACUAUGGUAUCAGAAUGUUUUCCCGUAGAGUCCAUUGGGGUUUUAGUAUUUGAGGAAUUGGAAAUUGAACUCCCAAUUUUUACCGUAUCUACAUAGAGACACAAUGUUUUCUCAUCUGCAGGGCUCAAUGAAUAUGACCCUCGUUUGCUGCUUUGAUAGGGUACUAAUUCCUGGGAGUAGUUAUUGCUACCUGUAUACUUAACCAACAUAUUUGUUUCGAAUUUCUCAGCGUCUUUGGGCAAACCAAGAAAGCCUCCUCCACUAAAGGGAGAUUGAGGUCUCUCUCUACGAUAGGAAGGAAUACGAGCACUACCUGGAAGCCUCUUGUGGGGUAACCAAGUUACCAUUUGCAGGUCAUUUGAGUUGCUACAUUGAUCCCAUCUAGGAAACCUAUGGGAUUGAACUCCGGCAUCUGAUUUGUUCUCUGGGAACCUGGAGGAUUGAACUCCACCAUCCGAUUUGUUGUUACAAGCAAUAGCCCAAUCGUGCUGUUCAAAUAAAAAAAUCGUAAAUGUAUUGCAAUGAAUUAGAAUCUUUAACAUUUAAAGAAAGAGGAGUGAUGAAGGAAAAUGGAAAGUCUCCGUACUAACCUUGUCAACAAUUUGGCUCUGAGACUUGAUGAAGGUAGUUUUUCCUGGUUUUGCAACCUCACAAGUAGAAGCCAGCGAGGAGCGAGUCCUAACUUUUAAUCCAGCCACAGGAUUUAAGAGGCACAUAAAGUUCAUAAAGCAUAACCGAGCUAACAAUCCACCAGCUGCUCUUGAUAAAUUACGGGAAUCCUUGUACAUAUUGUAGUCUUCUUUUUUCUCUUCAUGUGCCUCAUGAUUAUAAUGUGGAAUGAUAGCUAAUUCAUAACUAUUAACAGGUUUCCUGCCCCCAACAGCCACUUCCCUUAGCUCUCUACGUUGUUCAGGUGCCGUACAUUGCUUCCUUGAAGAUCGAGGUGUCUUCAGAAUCAUUGCCUUGGCAGCAGAUAAAAAAUGACUCAUCUGUUGGGGAUCUGUAGAAAAUGUUCCUGACGGUUUUGCAACUGAUCCACUUACACUACAAUUCAUUGAGAAUGAAUCUUUUGGGGACAACGUAUCAAGUGCAUUCAAAUAAACAGCAUCUUCUUUCUCCAACCCUGAGAUUUUCUCAUUUAAACAGUUUGAUUUUGUCACAUUAUCAUUCAUAGAAUAUUGGGGCCUCAACACAUACUGAUUUUCAAACUCACUCUCCACAGGAGACUUUAUGAGAUCCAAAACCCUCUCUGGCGGAAGUCUAGGAGUGCCCAAAGCUUCCUUAUUAGGCUGAAACUCGUGCCGGAUGCCACCUUUUGCUUUCCCAGGGAACUGCUCCCAUACAAAAGGAACUGCAACCGCUUCUGUUACCUGAUCCCAACUCACUUCCGAGGGGAGAGUAUGUGCCCUUGUGGAAGGAGAAUUCUCAACUAUCUUCUGCUUAUCUCUAGCUGAAAAAACAGAUGUUGAAGAAAAGCGCCUCACUGAUAAAAGUGGUGCAUUGAAAUUUAACUUGCAUUCCUCCAUCACACUUUGUAAUAUUCAAGAACUUCAGCAGCUUAAUUUCCUCCUAGGUUACGAUUCACCAAUUUAAAACAUUCUCUAUGCUAACAACACAACCCAGAAUUGAAUUUUCUUUUCAAGAUUAUGAUACCAAAAAAAGAAAAAGAAAAGAUGGAAAUCACUAACGACAAAUGAAACAAGAAUCUUUAAGUGUGACUAUCAACCUGUAAUCAACAUUAACAUUGCUUGAAGCAAGCAGUUCUUUUACAGAAAAAAGAACAUUAUAUGAUGCAAAAAGAAAAAGAAGAUAUGGGUAAUAAAGAGUAAUGGAGUGAUGGGUGAGUUCUUUGAGGUUUUGAGCUCGGGGGUGUCCUAAAAUGAUGACAAGUGUUCAUGGAAUGAGUAAGGAUAAAGAAAAGUGAAGAAGGGAGAGAUGUUGGACACUACUGCGCCUUUUUUUUUUUUUUUUUUUUUGUCUUUGGGGGGGUGCAAUCUUGAGAUUUGCUUUCUAUGUAUAUUGCCUUUGAGAGACAGAGUCGAGUCAUUGAGUGUAGAUUGUACUUAACAGAGAUUGAUAGGGAUAAACUGUUCUGUUAAACGAGCUUUGGCUCUAAUAACUACAGUCUUACCACUUUAAAUCCAUGUCGCGUUUGAAACCACGCGCCUCACUUUUUUUUAAUUAGAAUUAGAAAAAUUUUAUAACUCUUAAAAAUUAAAUUUAUUAAAUUUUUAGAAUUUAAAUUAAAAUGAUAAAUUUUGUAAACAUUAAUAGUUAAAUUUGUUAAAUUUGUUAUAUUUAAAAUUAAAUUUAUAAAACAUGUAAACAUUAGAAAACUAAAUUUAUUAUUAUACUAAUAAAUAAAUCUAUAAAUUUCUCUCACUUGUACCAUAAAAGUGUGAAUAAAAUAUUUAAUAAUUAAUUCGAGAAAAUUAAUAAUUGAAAUAAUGUUUAUAAUUUACUUUUUAUAAUUACAAUCAAUAUUACAAAACACAAUUGUAGUUACAAUCCAAAAAUACACAAAUUUAAAUAAAAAUAAAUCUAAAUUUAGACUAAAAACUCUUACUAAGCUCCAACAUGAAAUCUUAACAUUCACAAAAUCCCUAACAAGUAUUUAACGGAAGUCGAGUAAACCCAUUUUGUAUGGUUAAGAAUCUGGCAAUUCAACUUAUUUUUCUUCCUUCUUUAAGAUAUUAUAAAAUAAAAAAAAAAUAAGUCAAGGGAGAAUCCUUGGCGUAAAGAUCUAUCAAGCCCAGGCCCUGGCUAAGCUCUUUGCCUCGGAAAUACUAGGAUAAUGCAUUUUAAAAAAUGGUUAUAUUUGUUUCAAGGGAUAAUUUUUAAAAUUAUAAAUAAAUUUUGAUUUAAUAUGUAAUUUGAUUUAUGAAUUUUAAUUUGAUGUAGUUAUAUAAACGAAGUUUUGAUUGUGAUUUAAAUAUAUAUAAAUUUAAUUUUAAUUCAAUCAUAUACAUUUAAAAAGAUAAAUACAUCAAAUUAUUUUUAUAUUAAAUAAAUAAAAUUAUUUUUAUAUUAAAUAUAUAAACUUAAAAUGAUGCUGCAUUAAUAAUUAUAUUAAUAAAAUCUCAUAUAUAUAAUAUACAAAAUUAAAAUUUAUAUAUAAUUAUAUAUUAAACUAAAAACUAUAUAUAAUUUUGAGAUUUAUUUCUUAGGUUAAUGGAGGUAACUUUUAAAAGAUAUUUACCUCCGCUAAUUUCCUGAAUCAGCGGCUCUAAAACAUGUGCUGCUCAUAUUUAACACAUUAUUAUCUUCUCCACUAGUUCAGUCUCUUAAGAUCUGGUAUCUUGACAGAAUCCAAAUGCCACAAUAUAGGAAUAGGAGAGACAAAUCCAGAUUCCAUAGGCCCCGAAUCAAGUGUUGAGAGAAAUUGUCAGCUAAAAUUUUUGCUUCUCCUCUCUCUUCUCACACAUGGUGAUAAUGAUGGCGCAUUUUCAACUUUCUGUGUUUGUAUUAUUUCCAUUUAUAUUAAAUAGCAAGACCCAACCACUCUUACGUCCCAUCCAUCCAACACCCACUACACAAUGAGGGGUCAUUUUGGUCCCUCAAGUGCACUUUUAGCCUAGUCUCUCAAGCCCCAAUGCUUUACCUGUCUCUGGGCUUGUCUGAAUCUGGGCCUCUACAAUGUCUUCAACUAUUUCCGAGCAAAUGACGAUGGUUUGAGUUGCAAGUUCGUUAUGCAACUUUUCACUACAAAGACAAUUUGAGCAAUAGAAAUCGGAAUUUUUUGCUGCCAUAAAUAUCGAUCUAUAUCAAGCUAUAAGGCGAGCACUAAUCAAUAAAGAGAGAAAAGAAUGUAAUUUAUAUUUAUAUCAUAAAAAACGAAAUAGUAAUACUUCGUUGACAAAUAAUAUUGGUCCAUAAAAAAAAUCUAUUAAAGGUUGGAAUUAUGGAAACAACUUAUUUCUACUACUCCAUCUCCUAACGAAGUAGUAAUACUUCGUUUACAAACAAUAUCAACCCAUAAAAAAAAACCUAUCAAAGGUUGGAAUCACGAGAACAACUUAUUUUUACUACUCCAUCUCCUCUAAUUUAAAAUUUUAACCAAAAAAAUUUUCAAAACAUUCUUUUAAUCUAAUCCUAAAUUACUUAGAGGAUAUUACUCGCUAAUACCCAACCCCCGAAUAUACAAUUACAAGUGAAACUUGGCCAUUUUUUCUGUGAUCCUAGCUAAAGACCUUAAGUUACACCCAAUUAUCAUAUUGGCAAAACAGCAGGUAUCCUCCUUGCUAUUCCCCGCGGGAACGUCCACCACGUACGACUCAACCACCUCUGUUUUCCCCCUAUUCAUUCCUUCUUCGCUAAUUUCAUGGAGCGUAGUAGUAGAGAGGUAAUUAACAAGCCUGUGAUCACCUCCGAUGAUGCUAAUCAUCAUAACAUGACACUCAUCAUCAAGUUCAUCCAGCCUCUCCGUGCUGGUGGCAGCCGGCAACCCUGACACCACCAUCACUUCACGCACGCUCCCGAUGCCGCCGUUGCCUGACCUCAACUUACAACUCUUCACGAAUAGCUUGUAUGCUUGGGGGUUGUCGAAACGCCGGAUUAUGGACCAUACUAGAGGAAGUGGGGCAUCGAUGGUUUGAACUAGGCUUGAACCGCACUGGUUGGAUGAUAGCUGAGGGGUGUGAUACUGGUUUUUCAUUGCUUCUGUUUUGGGAUGGCGUUGAAGCUCUUUGCUUGGUCGAUUGUCUGGUAUUUGAAUCACCGUAUAAAUACAUAUAUAGAGCGGUAAAUGAUUUGUAAAUUGAGGGAAAUCUGGAGGGUGAGGUGAUAUCGUAGUUUGGAAUAUCCAUGGCAUUUAUCGGUUUAUGUCGGUUACCUUUUGUCUGAGUGUUGUUUCAUCUUCUUUCUUGAGUGUCAGACCAAUCAUCAUCACCCAUCAUAAACUUUAUUUCAGAACCAAAGAUAAAGUUUUAACACUAUAAAAACAGACAAUCAAAAUAAAUUUUAAAUUAUGGUUAUAGGUAUAGUUAUAUAGUUAUUGAUGUGAGGAGGAUGACGCCCUGUUUUAUUUGUUUCUAAGUUAGUUGGGAAAUUGAAGGCGGUUAAUUAAUAGCGAAGGCAACACAUUCGCUGUAUCAUUGAAUUUGUCCUUCUCUAGUUUUAGCGCUCGCAACUCGUUAGCCAUGUGUUUUACAACAUUUUACCUUGCCUUUAUUUUUCUUUGCCCUUCGGUUCACCACGUCGCUUCAUUUUCAUGGCUGUCAACCAUAGGAUUAAUUUUUCAAUUUACAGAUUAGAAUUUUUUCUAAAUUGAAAUUUUAUAUGUUAAAUUUAUAUUACAAAAUUAUUGUCAAAUUAGCACAACCUAAAGUAUUGAAUACAAUUAUUUUUUAUAAAAAUAAAUAUUAUUUUUAAAAAUCAUUUAUUUCUUAUGUUUAAUCUUAUUUAUAUAAUAUUUUAUGUUAUUUUAGAUAAAAUUUAAAAUAUGAUAUUUUUAAAUAUUCAUUUUUUUAGAAAAGAAAAUUUUAUUUCUUUUUUUAAUGAAAUAAAAUGAACUUACUAUUUGUAAGUGUGAAUUACACUAUACAACUCUAAAAUGUGACUUUCAUUUUAAAUUGGUCCCUAAACUUUAAAACAUUUUAAUUACAUCUCUAAAUUAUCAAUGUUAUAUCAAUCAAGUUCUUUUUAGGGGCGAAGCCAAAAAUUCUUUUUGGAGGUUAAAAUUAAAUUAUUAUUUUUAUGAUAGUAAAAAUGUAAUUUCACUAUUUUAAUAAACUAUAUCUUUAUAAUUUUUAAAGAAUUAAAUCAAUUUUUUAUCAUUUUUAGGGGGGCAAAGUGUAAUUUUAUAUUUACUAAUAUAAAAUUUUAAAAAUUUUAAAUAGGCCUAAAUAUAAAAUUUCCCAUUUAGGGGAGGUCAAGACCCCUGCCAGCCCCCUUGCUACGCCUCUAGUUCUUCUGUUAUAAAAAUCGUUAAUUUAACUAUUAAAUAAUACAUCGAAUCUUAUGUGACAUAAUUUAAAAUAAUUUUUUUUAAAAAAUAAAAUGUUACUACAAACUUUUAAAAGUUGAAACUAAAAAUAAAGUAAAUCCAAAAAAAUAGAGAGUGAACAAUAACACUUUUGUAAAAACUUUGAUAACCUCAAAACCAAGAUUUUUACAACAUUCAUUUUUGCAUUGUUCAUUUAAAAAAAAAUCAUUCUAAACUAUGCCACAUGAGAUUUGACAUAUUUUAGUAAAGAAAGAAUCUUAUUGAUAUAACUUUGAGUUUAAGGAUGUACUUAGAAUAUUUUAAUGUUUGGAGACCAACUUAGAAUGAAGGUUAUAAUUUGAGGAUGUAUGGUGUAAUUAACUCUAUUUUUGUCUCUCAAUGUCAAUGUUGGGGCAACAAAGUGCUUUGCCACUACCAUACCCCAGCUUGAUAGUUUUCCCCACCUAUCUAGGGUUGAGUCAUGGGAUUUAACGUCAAACUUAAAGAGUCACCUACAAAUACUUUGCGCCCAAUCAUUCCGGAUAACAUUUGUGUACUCUGUAUUACCACGACUAUUGGCUCAAAGUUAGUUGAUGCUUAUUCCCCAAAUAUAGUCAUUGCUUCUUCUUCGAGAAAAGAAGUUCAUGACUUGUAAGGCUUUUACCUCCACGAGACAUUGCUCCAUCAAGCUUUCACCCAUUGCAAAAAAUUCCCCACUACUACCUCUCGUAACAAUUUAGGCUAUGUCUCAGUUUCAAUGUGGUUAGUUAUCCUCUCGGACCAGCUACCGAUCAUCACAUUGAUAAGUUAUUGACUCACUAAAUAGCUAUUAAUCUAAUUAUCUCAUCUAACACUUUUUAAAAAUAUAUAUAUAUUAAGUAAAAAAAUUAAACUAAUUACCGACACAUUUAAAAUAUUAAAUGAUUAAUUUUGAAUAAAAUAAAAAUUUUAAAUGACUACCUCAAUAAAAAAAAAUAACAACACAAAGGUCAUUAGGCGUAUUGCAUGUAUUCAUCAUCUGUGCGAAUUUCCCUAAGAAAAAGACAGAGAUUUGCUCACCGAGGAUCAACCAACCGACUGAAAUUUUAAAACCAAAACCACUAUGAGAAGAAAACAACACCAAUUCCCUACCUACUCCUUUUUAUUGAGAUAGUAUGAAUGUAAUUAUUGAGGGUUGACUCGCACUAUAUUUUUUCAAUUCAAAAUUAUAUUUGAACUUUUAAUACUUUAAAAAUGAAACUAAAAUAAACCAACAGACGACAAUGUUCUUAAUAAUAAAAGAAAACAACUAGAAAAGAGCACACAUACGUCCUUGUUUAAUUCCAAUUGCAUCAUUAACCGAAAUGUGAACCUUUACAACUACACGUAUCUAUAUUGAGAACUCAUUGUAAAUUGCUAAUCACUUCCUCAACUUGUGCCUGUGCUUCAAAUUAAGAAUUGUGCUUUUUCUUAAGCAAGCAUCAAGUCAGGACUAGUGUUUGCCACAACCAAUUGCGACAAAGUUCCUAUUUUUUUUCUUUUUCCUCUUAAAUGACCUUGGCUAUGCAAGUUGUAACUCUAAACUAUGACACCAGACCUUUUGCAAACCCUUCUAUGUCUCAACAAGUUGUAGCAGCUUCCCUUGCUCCUUGAAUGUUCAACGUGUGAGCUAUGAUUUAAUUUCAAAGCACGUUACAGAUUAUAUCAAAUCAUAAUUAACUGCAACAACCAUUCAACUACAUCAGUCAUUCUCCAGUUUCAUCUACCUAUUCCAAAGUUAAAACCCUUCCAGUAUUAUUCAAUCCAUUCAAAUCUAAAACAGAGGGAAAACGAGAAAAUAUACAGAAUCAGGAAUAAAACUGGUAUGGGCUUAAGUGUCCAACUAACAAAAGGAAUGGACUAUUUCCAGUACAGAAAAACUUGGGGUAAAAUAAAAGGCUUACGAGAAAUGGAGUCCAUACACUAAAUUAGACCCAAAUAUCUUCCAUCUGCCUUUCCAUUACUUGAUAAUUAUCAUUUACUAGCUAUGCUGCUAACCUUUUGCAUCGACUUAAUUAUUUGUUUGUUUUAAAUUGUAGAGUAAAAUCUUGAAAGUUGAAAUAUGUUUUAAUUUGUUAUAUAUUUUUUAUAUUUAAAAUUUAGUUUUUUUUUAUUUUUAUUUUUAGAAAUUUAAUUUUUCUUUUUUACUUCUCAGAUUUAAAAUUUUAGGUUUAGUUGUUACCUUCAUUAAAUUUGUUCUAUUAAAUUCUCUAGUGUGACAUUUUAAAAUUUAAAAAAAAAAUCAUGUAACAAUAAAAAUAAUGUUGAAAAUACUUAUUAGAAUUUUUUAAAAAAAAACACUCAUUCAAACUCAUUUGAUAAAAUAAUUUUUUUGUUGAAAUAGUUUUCUUAAGAAUAAUUAACCUCAACAUUUUGAUUGAAAAUAGUUAACAAUAUUGACUAAUUAAACUAACGAAUGACAAUAUAAAAGUAGAUAAGUCAAAUCAUGUUAAAAAUUAUAGUAUAUAGAUUAAAUUUCAACAUAGUCUAGGGUUAAAAUUGAAAUUUAACUAUUGUCAUAUAUAUAUAUAUAUAUAAAACAAUGAAAAGCAAGCCAUCAGUAAUGUAUUAAUCUCUAAAACUUGUAAAGCAAUUAAAUUACAUAUAACACUUUAAUAUUUUAAUUAAAAUAAUAAUAAUAUUAACUAUUUAGAUUAAUUAAUAAUAUUUAAAAAUAUAGAGAAUAAAUAAUUUUAAAAAUUAAACUAUAAAAAUUAAAUCUUAAUUUAAAGUAUGAUAGAGGAACUAAAUCUAAAAUUUAACCAUUUUAGAAAAAUUAAAAGAAAAAGAAUAUGUCCGCGUGUCAAUAACGGAAGAUUUGGACUAUGUAUGGUUUAUAGAUGUCAUUUCUCUGGACAAAAAUAUGUUGUGUUUAAAAUAAGUAAAACUUUUAUGAUAUAACGGUGCAUUUUAACUUUAUAAAAGAGUUAUUUUAGUUUUUUAUUUUAUUUUUUUGUCAUUUUUUGUUUUCUUUUAUCGUUUUUGGUAAAAAAAGAUUAUAAGGAGUUGGGGGGGUCUUUUAUCGUUUUUAUUUAAUUAUUUUGCUAGUUAAAAAGACAUAACCAAUCUGCAAUAUGAAUUAAUUUAUAUGAAGAUAUAGGAUUUUUGGUCCAAAACAGCACAUAAAGUAUGGCAUUUUUAUAUAUUUGGUAAUUUGUAAAGACCCUCCUUUUUUUUUCCUCCCUUCAAGAUCACAUGUUGCCCACUAAUAUCUAAAUUAUAUUAACCAUUUAAUUUGUAGACCACUGCUUAGAUUGGACAUUACUUAGAUUUACACUUUUUAACUUUUAAUAGCAAAAAAAAAAAAAAAAAAAAACCAAUAGUAGAAUUGUUGUCUUGAGUGAAAAAAGAAAUUACACAUCCUUUUGAAUCAUCUAACAUCCCUUUUUUAAUAGAUACGAAUUAGUGUGGACCUCAGCAUUAUGGUAAUGAUAAAGAAAAGGUAAAUCAUCUCAGUGAGGAUUAAUAAAAAAUAUAGUUGAUGGAAUUGAUACUCGACUUGCUCAAAUAUGGUAGCAAGGGAGCUUAAGUUGAUGGUUACGUACGUGAAAUGUUGAUUAUACGAAACUCAUUCAUGCAUAUACUGGUUUAGGCGAUUGUCUCUUACAAGUCCUAGGUGACGUGGUAAACCUACAAUAUUAACCAUCCACCUACUCCCUUAUUGCGGUGGGUUAUAAUAUUGGAAUCGCCUAUCACUUACUGGAGGACGAGAUCGCUGCUGGGGUUGAUAUUGGCGUAUUGUCAUCUGAUGGUGACGCGUAAGGGAGGAUAUUAGGGGUAUUCUUAGGUUGCUUGGACUGUUGACUCAGUUUGAUCAAUGUCCAUUUGGUCACUUUCCGUGAAGUGAUGGACCAUUUCAUAAAACUGGGAUAAUUUCUUCGGAGCGUUAUCAAUAAGGUAAAAUUGGAGAAAUUUGUGAGUGGCUCCCACAAAGAAGGCUUGAAUGACUAAAGCGUUAAAGACACCUUUGGUUAUCAUAGUUGUAGCAAUAAAACUCUUCAUGAAAUCACGGAAAAGUUCAUUCUCCUUUUGUCGGAUGCACAUGAGGUAAGUUGGGGACUGUUGUGGGGUCUUGUUGGCUAAAAAUCUACACAUGAAUAACCCAACCAACUAAUCAAAGUUACUUAUGGAUCCUAGAAAGAAUGAGAGGUACCAUUGUUGGUCAGUGCUAGAAAGGUUCCCGGAGAAAGCUCUGCAUUUCACAGCAUCUAAGACCCCAAGAAUGUUCAUAUGGUUGUUGUAAUGAGUUAGGUGAUCUUCUGGGUCUCCAAUACCAGUGUAAGUUAACUUGGGAAACAUAACAGAAGAAAAUAAUUUAAGUGUCAACACAAUAAGGGAUAAAGGUUGAUUAGGUAGCUCCAAGAAACUUCAUCAGAUUUAAAAGAAGUUCCAAACCAAAGUGCUGCAAUUUGCUCUUUAAUAGGAACAGUCUUGUUUCGGGGUUCUCGAUCCGGACAAUUGACAAGCUGAAGAUAUUGUAGCACCUCAUUAUCAUUGUACUCUUUUCUAUCUUUACGGACAGUGGAUUGUGUUGUACCUUCCGGUUCUGGAAAAGGGGUUGUCUAAACCAUCCUUCGAUUUAAAAAAUUUUAAUUUUAAUGAGAAAUGGUGAAGUCAACUUUUUGGAAAAUGAAAAUAUGGAGUCGCCACCGAUCCUUUUGUUUUGAUGUGAUCGGGUCACCUAAGAAUUCGAUUAUAAAAUAUUUUUGGUUUACUAAAACAAUGAUUCUGGUCUACGCAAAUAUGAGAAAAUGGGCUCGGGAUUCGGUUAUGUAUGAGGAAGGAUUAGCACCCUCACUACGCCCAAAAUUGGUACCAAAUCGAUGAAGUACUGUCCUUAUGUCUAAAAUUAAAAAUGUUUUUGAAUGUGGCUCUUUUUAAUAAAGUUUAAAUAACCGAGUGGGUUACCAAAAUCUCCUUGUUUCGACGUCCGAAAGCCUACAAUAUUGAAAUUAACAAAAGGAUGCCCAACUGUUUGGUCCAACGAAAAAUCGAAACCCAGCACAGUAGGGUACGAUUCCUCGAAUUUCCGAAUAUUGACCAUUGCCUUAUUUCAUAAAAUACAUGUGAAAUUCCGAGGGGAUAUUCGAUUAUUUCGGGCAAAUGAAAAAGCGCAACCCAGCACGAUAGGGCUUGAUUCUCAAAACGCCAAAUAUCAAAUAUCGUCUUCGUUUUUAAGUAUUUAUAUUUUUUUAAAACAUGAGUGAGAAUACAAAAGAAUAUUCGAUCGUUUUGAACAAACGAGAAAUCACAACCCAGCACGAUAGGGUAUGAUUCUCGAAUUGUCAAACGCCGAAUAUUGCUUUCGUUUUAAAUAAUUUUUUUUAAAAUAUAUGAAUGAAUUUUUGAAGGGAUACUCGAUCAUUUUAAGCAAACGCGAAAUUGCAACCCAACACGUUAAGGCACUAUCCCGCGAAUUGCAAAAUAUCGAAUUUCGCCUUCGUUUUAAAGAAUUCUUUUAAAAGGCAUGAGGGAAAUCUUGAAGGGACAUUCGAUUAUUUGAGCAAACGCGAAAUUGCCACCCAACACGUUAAGGCACUGUUCCGCGGAUUGCCAAAUAUCGGAUUUCACCUUCGUUUUAAAGAAAAUUGUUUUAAAUGGAUACUUAUAAAACUAGCUUAAAACAUAUUAAUGCAUUUUGAAAUGAGACGAAAUUGAUUAUAAAGAUUUGAAUUUUAUAAAACCACAUUUCGAAAACCAAAUAGAAGACAAUGAGUGAGGUAAUAUGCAUGUACGAGAUGUGAUCAACUAACGUACUAAUAAUUAAAAAAUAGCUAGCUUAAAAACGUAAUCCGAUCGCAAUAAUACAUGGAGAAUAGCUACUAUGAAACAAUGAAUAAAUGGAUAAUGCCACGAUAACAUACAUGGGAAAUAAAAUGAUUAACAUUAGAUAUACGAAACAAAAUGCAAAUUAAAGAAGCAAUAUGGCAUAAAACCAUUCUAAAGUAACGACGAAUAAAAUGGUACUUAAAACGUGGGUUGACAAGUUUGCGCAUAUACAAGAACUAAGGCUAGAUAUAUAUAUAUAUAUAAAUGAAGUUUAAAUUAAAACAUAUGCAAAAUAUUUUAAACACAAAUUCAUUUAAACAUUGACAAGGUACAUGAAAACUUAAAAAUAUGAAAAAAUGGUGGAAUACACGAUAAGAUAUACGUUUAUUUAGGAAUAAUUAUUUGUAAAGAGGUAGCAUAAAAUUGAUAAUGUAUAUAAAAAGGAUAAGUAAAUAUAUAAAUUAUUCAUGUAACUAAUCUUUUUUAAAAAUCUAAUCAUACACACAAAAAGGAGAGAAAAAAAAACUAUAUGUACAAAAAAAACUAUAUGUACAAAAUACAUAAUUUAUAAAACUAUAUUUAUAAAGGGAAAUUUAAAACAAAUAAUAUAUAACAUAAUUUUACAUGUAACAAAUUAAUUUAAAUUGAUGGUACAUACAAAUAAUACAUACAUAAGGAUAAUAAAAUAUAAAAAUGUAUACGAUAAGUAAAUUGUACAAUUUAAAAUGUGGUCUUUAAAAAGAAAUAUAUUACACGCAUAAACAAUUUUAAGGGAAAAUAUAUAUACAUAAAAUAUUUACAUAAAGCUAUAUGAAAUUAAUAACAUGUACUAUAAUGAUUUAAUAUAGGCUAUACACAUGUGAAGACACUUUUAGGGAUAGUUAUAUGUUAAAAUAACAUUAAAAAAAUAUGAAUUUUAAAUUAGCUUAAUCUUAUCAUAUAUUAUACAUUUACUAAAACUAAAAAAAAUUAGGUACAAAUUUACUAAAAAGCUAUAUAUAUAUAAGAAUAACAGGGCUUUAAUAACAUAUGUAGAUUAAACAUAAACACUAAAUAUAUCUAAUAAACAUUAAAAUAUAUGGAUAAAUCCAAAAGAAAUUGCAAAAUAUCAUGAAACUAAUAGCAUACAUAAACUAAAAUGAAUUAUAUUACAAAUAAUAUGCCAAUUAUUAAGAUGAGAGAAUAAAUAAAAAGAUCAUUAUAAUACUUUUCAAAACAAAAUUCAAUUAUCAAAGCAACAAAAUAACACAAUUAAUAAUCUAGCAUGUAAGAAAAAAAAUUAUGUGCAGUAAAUAAAAAAUGUGGAUAAGACUUAAUUGAAACAAAGUUAAAACAAGAGAACCAAUUUACAAAUAAAAUAAUUGCAAAAUAGGGUCAAUGUGCCAUGCGCACAAAUAUGCAGGGACUAGAAUGAUAGAUAUCCCGCACUUACAAUGCUAGACUGAACUGCGGAUCGAAGUGAAAAGACGCACAAAUUAUAAGGCCAAAUUUAAGAAAAAAGGUAAUUAAACUGGGGAGCAGAUUGAAAGCAUGGUGCGAUAGGAAGGAUUCAUCGCACAAAUUCCCCAUUUUUGUGUGGGAAUGUGCAGAUCAGGCUUGCGAAAUGGGUCAACACGCGGGGCUUUUUCAUUAUAAACGGUGCCGUUUGAUAAUUAGGUUUUAAAACCUUUUUUUUCCUUUCUUCUUUUCCCAAACGCAACCAUCAUUUAGCCAAAGUUCACAGCCUUAGAAAAUCAACUUAUUAAGGUCUGUUCCAGCAACCACCGAAUCCACCACUUAAUCAGGUGGUCGAUAGCAUAUCAACAACAAUCAACGGCGCCUUAGGACCUUUCCAACCUCGAUCUCAACGAAGUGAACAGAUCCAUGGCCGUUUCGCAAGGUAAGGUUUGCUUUUUCCCCUUCUUUGUUUUAGAAUGAAAAUGAUGAAAACAAUCGAUGGAAAAAUAAUAAUAAUAAAAAUGACAGAAAAAUUAAAAAGACUAAGAAAGAUCACCUCUUCAGAAAUUGUUUUUGAAUUUUUCUAUUCAAUUUUCGUAUAAUGUAUGUGUGUAUGCCCCCUCCCUUUCAUUCGUUUUUCAUGCGAUAGAUAAAUCAAAGAAAACAGAAAUGAAAUCGAAAGAAAAAUGAGAAUCAAAUCACCUUGUGGAGAUUUUUUUGUUCAAGCUUUUCUGUAUUGAUUUUUUUUUUGUUUUUGUGUCUGUAUUCGUAAAAAGAAAGAAGCCCCCUUUACAAUUGAAAAUAGUAGGCUUUAUCCGAAAAAGAAAAAAGGAAAAGAAAAAAUAAAAAUCCAUUUUUAUUCUUCUCCAUUUGCUGUUCUGUUGUCGUCCUUUUUGUUUGUCUCUACUGCUGUUACUUUUUUUUUUGUUUUGCAGGUACGGGUGUGUUGGCGUGGCUGGUGGUGUACUGGAGCGUGCCAGGGCAGUGGAGGCUGAAUGGUUGCGGCGCACAGAGAGAGCCCUAGGGUUUCUGCUCUUGAAAUGUUUCGGGCCUUUUGGGCUGAUGUAAUUUGGGUCCGGGUUUAUCCGUUAAUGGGUUUUAGGAUAUUUGAUUUUGGGUUGUAAUUAGACAGAUAAUGGACUGUUAUAAUUAUUUUUGUUUUUUCUUGGUUUAUUCUUGUGGUCUGGGCCCGGGCAUAAUUUGGGCCUUACAGGGGUAAUUCACCAUCUUUGGCAACGUCUUUUGUUGAGUGUAGCUCCGCGAUCAAUUGCUCAUUACAGGCAUUUUUUCGAUCUAGUAGGCGUUGAUGCUCAUGUUGUUCCUGGAACUAAGGUUGUUGAGUUAGGGGUUGUUCCUCCAUAAGAGGCAUAUUUUCCUCCAUCUUCGUAACAUGUGCUAAUAAGGACCAGUGAGUUGUUGCUAUUGGGAAUCUUGGUUCGAGGGAAUAGCCGCAAUAAUGGGUUGAGGUUGUGAGGCUAAAGAAGAGAGGAUUUGUUUUAAGAUAUCUUUGGGGUCUUGUGAGGCGGUAGAGAAAAUGGUGUGUUGGAAAUUGAGGGUGAGGCCCAUAAUGGUAGGGCUAACCGAAGGAGUGUUAAAGGCAUUCAAAAGCAGGGCAAGGGGAUUCCAUGGUGGUAAUAAAAAUAAAAAUAAUAAUAAUAAUAAUAAUAACAAAGUAGAGCCUAGAAAAAUAAAAAUAAAUAAAUAAUAAUAUAUAACUCCAACGAUAAUCUACUAAAAGUUUUCGAUUCUUAUGGAAAGAAUUUUUCCGUUUAUAGUGAUGAUCCUUGAGUGAUUUUAGUUGUGUUUUGGUGUAAGACUAGAAGUGAUUGCUUAUGCAUUUCGUCAGCUAAAACUGUAUAAACGCAAUUAUCUGACACAAUUUAGAAACUAGUUUUUGUGGUUUUUGCUCUAAAGAUUUAGAUAGACUAUUUGUAUGAUGAAAAUUUGUUAUAUUUACACCGAUAAUAAAAGUCUCAAAAAUAUUUUAUCUCAAAACGAGUUGAAUUUAAGACAGC
This 74212-nucleotide long non-coding RNA is filed under the name Gossypium barbadense (sea-island cotton). Its description in RNAcentral is "long non-coding RNA (GBAR_LNC003799)". Lineage: Eukaryota; Viridiplantae; Streptophyta; Magnoliopsida; Malvales; Malvaceae. The record is from RNAcentral.